AUAGUAAAACGAUUAGGUUAAUUUCGGGAAAAGUAGGUCGUACGGUCGAUCAGACUGACCGCCCUUCUUGGUAUCGCAGUGGCGAUUAAUCCAUGUUUCAUGUAGCUCGUACGGUCAAAAUGGUCGAGCUUCGUGGAUACGUUGGGCCUGGUGAGGUUAUUGGGCUUUACCAGGCUUAAUGGGCCGAUCUUGACUUGGGCUAAUUCUUGAAGAGGGCUGUGCGCAGACCACCUCCAACAAUUGCCCCCCUAGUUCGUCGAGAGAGAUUUGUAUUGAUAGCUCGGUGACUUGACGUUGUGACUCCUUAUUGCGAGUUCUAAUCCAGUCUUGGGCAAUAUCUUUGGCGAGGCGACACUUAGAUAUUGCGGUGAUGGAGCUGUACAGUAUAUAUCAAGGAGGGGUGGUGUGCAUUGAUGACGGCUUUGAAGUUGAAAAGGCGCACGUGAAUGGCGGUUUCAGAAUCGAAAAGACGCGCAUGAGAGGCGGCUUGGAAGUCGAAAAGGCGUGCGCUGAGAUACGAAACAUUGGAUGGCUCGUGAACUCCAAAUAUCUUUGAAUUCGAUUGGAUUGCGGGUCAUGAUUAUAUUCCUCGGUAACCGGUAUUUUUCUUCUAUAUAAUUUGAGAAUCCCAACUUCUCUUCAUUCUCUUCUCUCGCUCAUAAAAGGUAACUUCUCUUUCUCCCUUCCCGCACUCUCUCUAGUUUCUCUCUCUAGAAUUUACUCUUCCUCCGUCAUUUUGGUUCUAUUCUCGUGGCUUGAUUUCUCCAAUCAUAACUUCUUCGGCCAUCUCCAUAAACAUCACCCAAUGGUCAUGGGAGAGGAACACAUUGAGUCGAGUUUGGAAUCUGGAUCUCGAUCUGAGGAGAUUGCUGAGGAGAGUGGAGAUUCAUCUCCCUAAGUAUCAUCAAGGUCUGAGAGUCCGUUGGAUAGAGGGACAUCACCACUAGAUGAGUUUUCAAAGCGGAUUUGUCCGGAUGGGGCCACUUCUAACUCGACAAGAGUUGAGAUCGUGACUCCUUGAUCGAGCCACAUCAAAGCAAAUUCUUGCGAUGUUGAUGCUGAGGUGCCCGAUAUAGACGACGUCGAAGAGAAAAAUUAAAAUGAAGAAGAGGAAGACGAAAAUGAAGAAGUCAAACCUCGCAGGAAGGGUUCCAAAUGUAAGGGACCAAUAGAGAAUCAUCUUAAGAAGAUCCUGUCGUGGAUGACGGUUGAGCGUCUGAACGAUAUGCAGAACAGGUUCCACCUUUCAUUAGGUUUUGUUCUUAAUUCACCAGGCCCAGCAGAUCCACCAUGGCGAGCUCUGGAAUUUCCCAGUUGUGUUUAAAGAUCAAGGGGAUCUCUGAAAUUUCCGGGUGGAUGGCCGCUGUGGAGGAGUGGCAAACUGAAAAGAAGAGGGAGUUGACCAAUCAGAUUGAGUUGUUGAGAAUAGAAAACCAGGAUUUGAUCAACAAUCUCCAGAUCGCCAACGAGAAGAAGAUUCAGCUCGAGAAAACGAUGGCUUCGGAGGUCCUCCGAGCGCAGAGGAACACCGCCAAGAGGAUUGAGGCCGAGAGCAUAAGGAUUUUUUCGGAUGCUGAAGCCAGGUUCUCUGCUCGCAUGGGUCGGCUGAGAGCUUACAAUGUUGAUCGCGAGGCAGCCGAAACCGUGAAUCUCGAUCUUGUUCAGGCUAGAGGAACCCUCGAGUGUCUCGAUCUUUUGAAGCAGCCUUCAAAAAUUACCAAGGGAGAGAUAAGGUCUGAGUAUGCGAAAACAAAACUUGAUUGUGAGCAGAACCUUGCAAGUCUCAGUAUUUCUGACCUGCAGAAGCGUGAUCUUGAACUGCCGUUUCCUGCUACUUCAGGAGGCGGUUCAGAUCAUUACAAGCCUGAAGAUCCUGAAGACCCCGAAGCUCGAGAUCGAUUCGUUGAGUAAAGUGUUUUCCUUUGUUGUUGCACUUCUCCUUAUUCGUCGCAUUUUCCUGAUUUUCUUUGUUUUUUUUUAUUCGAUGUAAUGCGAUAUUCGAACUUAAUGAAAUGUCUAUUUUUUUUACAAGUGGUUGUUUGACUAUUUUUGUUAUUGAGACUAAUCAAAUUAUAGGUGCGAGACAAGAGUUCGGCAACUCUUUUUUUCCUAAUGAGUGUGGGCUCGGUUUAGUAUGCUAGCAGGUGCGAGUAGUAGCUCGGCUGACCUGUUAGCUUUAGCGUAUUUAUUCGGGCGAUCUAAGAGAGUGCAGGAUUGGACCCGACUUAAUCUCUAUAAUCGUUAAGGUUUUUGUUCCUUAGGAUUAUAGAGAGUUUGCAUUAUGAUGAAUGAGUUUUUGUAGAUCGCCGAGAUGUCGAGUAAAGAGUUCAGAAAAGUAAUAACAAAUUUUUAUUAAUAGCUGCACUUGAUAAUUCGGGAUCAAGCUAAUCGUAGUUUUCAUUUAAUACAGAGUAGAAUCUAGCUCGGUGAGCAACCUUUUUUUUUGGCAAUCUUGUGGUCAAAUCGAUCUAGUAGUAGUAUCUCUUUAUGUUAAUCGAAUUCCAUGACCGUGGGAUCAUCUCUCCUUGCAUUGUCAUUAGCUCGUAUACUUCUGGUUUGAAGAAUUUUGUGAUUUGGUAUGGGCCAUCCCAGUUUGCUCCAAGCUUCCCCGCUUGUUGUUCAGCGGUGUUUUCGAGUACCUUGCAAAGUACGAGGUGGCCUGCCUUGAAAUGUCUUCCUUUGACCUUCUUGUUGUAAUAUCGGGCCGCUUUUUGUUGGUAAUUUUGUAUUCGAAUUAGAGCUUGGGCUCGUUCUUCUUCUAACAUGGUGUUGGUUUUGGCGUCUUGUGUUAGCAUUAUUUGGCGCAGGCUUGGUAGGCCAACCUCGGAUGGAGCUAGAGCUUCCAUUCCAUGUGACAAUGAGAAUGAGGUUUUAUUUGUUGAUCGUCGAGGUGUGGUUCUAUGCGACCACAGUACUCCAUCGAGUUCGUCGGCCCAUAGACCUUUCUCUUCUUUAAGUCUCUUUUUGAUCCCGCCGAGUAUGAUUUUGUUGGUCGCCUCAGCUUUCCUGUUACUUGUGGGUAUCUCGAGGUCGAUUUACUGAGUCUGAUCUUCCACUUGGCACAGAAAUUCUCAACUGUGCUAGAAAUGAAUGUGGGGCCGUUAUCCGUCACGCUCUAAUAAGGGAGGCCGUGUCGACAUAUUAUGUGUUUCUAGAGAAAAUUCUUGACGUCUUCUGCGUGGAUUUUAGCAUAGGAUUCGGCCUUGAUCCACUUCGUGAAAUAGGUGAUGAUGAUAAUAGUACAUUUCUGGCGGGUGCGAGGUAAUGGACCGACGAUAUCCAUCACCAUCGCAUGAAUGGGUGGGGUGGUGAUGAAGCCAUGAGGAGUUCGAUUGGGUCGUGGAUCAAAAGGGUGUGUCGCUGGCAUUUUUUGCAGCGAGCAACGAAUCUAUCGCAGUCUAUCAAUAUAGUCGGCCUGAAGUGUCUGUGAUUUUUUUAUUUAAAGGGUUAAUGCCCAACCAGUCGAAUGAUUUUCACACCCACCUUCGUGUGUUUCUUGCAUAACGUCAACAGUUUCUUCCCCGUGCAGACAGCUAAGCAGCGCGCCCUUGGCGCUCAAUCAGUAUAGGUUUUUGUGCGACUGAACAUACUUUGUGCUGCGGGCUUUUAGGCGUCUGGUUGCCCAUCAGUCAAGAGGUACAUCGCCAUCUAUGAUGUACAUUAAAAUUUUGACCCUCCAUUCAUUGUUCGAGGGUUCUUGCACAGCCUACUCAUCUAUGUUUGAGUAGUUUCUCAGUUGGGUUUAAACGGAUUUCUCAAAGGGAAUUUCAUGUGUCUUCUUAUAUGAAUUGCUAGAUUUAGUAUUAAUAAUCUUCUAGGUGUUCUUCGUCUACCUUUAUUCUUAUUGCGCGAUUCUCUGCUGGCCACUUAGAAUUCGAUCUAGAUAUGAUAUGUUCUAAAAGUUUUCAUUGAUUGUCUAAUCUAGGGUGAAACGAGAAAUUCUACUAUAGAAGUGGAAACUUACGUAUAAAUGAGUUGUGAAUAUUGAUGAGUCUUGUUCAAACUAUUGAAUCUUCUUCCUUUCAGGACCAGAGUGGAAACCUACUUCUUAGGGUUGCGAGAGAUAGUUGUUUAGUGAUGCAAAAGUAGGCUAUUCAUACUUCCAUGCCUCAAGUUCUAGAAUAUACAUAGUCGAUUACCUUUAUCAUUUAUUUAUGUCAUAGGUUUAGUCCAAUGAAUCCCUGCGAUACCCUUGAGCCCAUCGUUUGUUUUCCAUUGUUUAUAGCCUUCGAUUUUCAUUCGGUUUUUACCCGCUUCACUUGCUUUCAUUUUCAGUUACUUUUUACUUGCUUUCUAGUUUAGAUUUAGUGACACCCGAAAACAAAAACCCAAAUUGUUUAGUUCAAGCCUGAUUUAAGCAUUAGCGUGAAUUCGUACUGAAACAACUAAGUCUUUGUGGAUCGAUACCCUAAGUACUAUAGCGCACAUCUGCGCACUUGCAGACAUUUAGUGGUUAUAAAUUUUAAACCUGAAAAUUAGUAAAACCAACACCUCGUUUACAAUCGCAUCAAGUUUUUGGCGGCGUUGCCGGGGACUUUGAUGCGAAUCUCAGCUUAAAUCCAUUAGAACACUUGUUUACUUUUACUUUUUCUUUUGAACUUUCCAGGUUACUCGACAAUGGGAGACCGGAACAUAUUCACAGAACUCUCGGUGAUCCGCCAUAUCAUGUGGAUGAUAACCCAAGCGACGGACCUGAGUGAUGAAGAGCUUGACAAUCUGAUCAAUGAUGAUGAGAAGCUAAUUGGAUCAACAAGAUGAUGAUGAUGAACUAAUAGGAAGUUUUGAUUCACUCAAAAAGUUUUUGGGAGAUCGAAGAGCUAUUCAACCUUCCUUACCAGAGGAUGGUAAAACUGAAAUAAAGGUACCAUAUAUCAACUUAGUUCAACAAAAUUAAUUCUAUGGUUAUUCAUCCGAACACCCGAUGGACCAUAUCGAGUCGUUCGAAGAAUUAUGUGCAACCAUUACAUCAAAUGGGGAUUACCACAAGUGUAUUCUUUUCUCAUUUUCUUUGAGAGACAACGCCAGCAAUUGGCUAAAAUUUUUGCAACCUGCAUCAAUAAAAACGUGGAAAGACUGUAGAGCGGCUUUCCUAAAUCGUUUUUACACUAGAACUCGUUCCAAUCUCUUAAGGAACAAGAUACAAACUUUCGAACAAAAGAAAGACGAAGAUCUUUACGAUGCUUGGGGAAGAUUUAGAGAAUACCAAAGAGAUUGUCCACACCAUGGAUUUUCCGACGAAUACCUGAUGGGUAUCUUCUAUCAAAGCGUAACUAAAGAAUUGCAACAUUCUUUUGACACAGCAAGCAAUGGAGACUUCUCCACCAGAUCCACAGAAGAUGCUAGUGUUUUCAUAACAACCUGGCAGGAAGUAUCCGUAACAAGCAAUCUUUGGCAAGUCUGCACUUCAUGAGAAGAAAGAAGAGAUUUCAGAAGUUAUGAAGUGUCUCCAUCAAAUAAUGAGUCAACUUGGAUUGCAACAACCAAACAAAGUACACAAUACGUGUAACUUUGAUGGUUGGAACAACCCAAUGGAUUCUUAUAAGCAAGAGAUGAUGAACACUGAAGAAAUCUAUCAAAUUCAAGAUUUUCUUUCGUGCUUGAUCACCACAGGUCCAUUCUUUCGGACCCCGGCCAAACCAGCUUUCACCACGGUCGUGCCUUCCCUGACCGCGAUCAAGACCCAUUCCACCACGGUCGCGAGUCAUACGACCGCGGGAAAUUCUCUUCCGAACAAAUAUGGGCUGUCCAAUCUGAUUCAAUCCCCUAUUCAAGUUUUCCCUCUUCUGAAGCUAAAAACCUAAACAACAGAUUCUAGAGCUUGAAAAAUCUAAGUCUAGGGAGAUCAGUGAUCUUAGUUCUGAAAUAAAAAGGAUGCAAGAAGAUUUCAAUGACAAAUUUUCCACCCUAAGAACACAGAUAAUCCCGAGGAGGAGCCAAGUGAAAGUUCUUUCAAAAGCUCAAGCGAGGCCGACCCCUCUGAUCAUGUGAAAGCCAUCACACUUAGGAGCGGUCUAGCUUACAAAGAGCCUGAAUUUCCUAAAGAUCCCGUAGAUGAGAAAAAAGGAAAGGAAAAGGAAAAAGAAAGAGACAGAGUCACGAUUGAAGACGUUGAAAAAGACGUGGUCAGAGAAAAGGAUGGAGAAGAAGUAAGAGAAGUUACAUCCCGGGAAAUUCUCUUAGAAGACCCGAUCCCCCCUCCAUCAGCUCGUGUAUACAAACCUAAACCGCCAUAUCCUAAAGCAUUAAGAGCCCCGAAGAAGGAGAAAGAAAAAGCUAAGCUGAAAAGCUAAUCGAUCAAUUAAAUGUGAGAUUACCUUUCGUAUAAGCUUGUGCUAUGAUUCCCGCUUUAAGAAAAUACAUGAAGGGUAUUCUAACAAUUUUUUUAACUCUUGAAGAAGGUGUUAUAAUGAGAACCCAUGAAUGUAGUUCUAUCCAGCAAAGCCGGAUCCCUCAAAAGAAAGACGAUCCUGAGAGCUUCAUACUUUUCUGCACUAUCAAUAAUAUGGCUUUUAAGCGUGCUCUUUGUGAUUUGGGAUCAAGCCUAGACAUGAUGCCUCUCUCAUUUUCAAAAAACGUUUAGGACAUCACAAUUUCCAGCCCACUAUUUCUUUAGUAUUAGCUGAUCGUUCCGUUAGACAACCCGUAGGUAUCUUAAUAGAUGUUCCCAUCAAAAUUGAAAAAUGUUGCAUACCCACCGAUUUUGUAGUGCUAGAAUUAGAAAGAGAACGUAGAGAUCCUCUUAUUCUCGGACGACCAUUCUUAUGUACAGCGGGAGCGAUAAUCAAUGUUCCUAAAGGAAAAAUCGAUCUUCACUUAGGUGAUCUGGUUAUGCAAUUUGACAUGAACAAAAAUCUCGAUAAACCAACUCUGGAUAAAAAAAAAUUGUUGGAUUGAUGAGCUUGACGGAAUUAUUGAGGAAGUCUAUGAAGAUCUACUUCUCGAAGACCCUUUAAGUGUCACGGUUUCAACCACAAAAGACGAAAGCAAUUUCCUUGAAGAAAUCUCAAGUGAAUGCGCGCGGAUGCUUGAUAAGUCUGAAACUUAUAAGAAGCCUCUAAACCAUCUAGAUCUUAAAGACCAAACAAACAUUCCUACACUUCCUAUAGGCACAGCCACAACAAUAAAUGAUCCGUGGAGCAAGCUGAAAGCCCCGAAGGUUGAGCUUAAAUCUCUUCCAGUCGGACUAAAGUACACUUUCUUUGGACCAAAUUCGACUUAUCCUGUCAUUAUAAACUCCGGUUUGACAGAAGAAGAAACCAAAAUGCUAUUUUCUGAACUGAGAAAGCAUAAAAAGCCUUAGGAUAUUCACUUGAUGACAUAUCUGGAAUCUCUGCAGAUCUUUUUAUGCACAAGAUCAAUCUCGAGGAUAAUGCUGAAAACUCAAUCGAAAGUCAAAGGAGACUAAACCCUAAUCUCAUGAAUGUCGUCAAGAAAGAGAUUAUGAAGCUUUUAGAAGCCGGAAUAAUAUUUCAUAUCUCAGAUAGCACUUGGGUUAGCCAUUUCAUGUUGUCCCGAAGAAAGGAGGAGUCACUGUCGUUAAAAAUGAUAAAGAUGAAUUGAUCGCUACAAGAACACUCACUAGACAUCGUAUGUGCAUCGAUUACUGGAAACUGAAUACAGCAACUAGGAAAUAUCAUUUUCCACUUCCCUUCAUAGAUCAAAUGCUAGAAAGGUUAGCUAAUCACCCCUAUUAUUGCUAAUUGAUGUAUACUCCGGACUUUUCCAAAUUACCAUUCGACCGGAGGAUCAAGAAAAAACGUAAUUUACUUGUACAUAUGGCACGUUCGCUUAUCGACGAAAUGCCUUUUGGAUUGUGUAAUGCACCUGCUACCUUCCAGCGAUGCAUGAUGUCGAUCUUCACGGACUUUAUCGAAGACAUUAUGGAGUUUUCAUGGAUGAUUUCUCAAUCUAUGGAUCUUCUUUCAAAAAAUGCCUGGCCAACCUUGGUAAAUUUUUGCAAAGAUGUGAAGAUAGGCACUAAGUAUUAAAUUGGGGAAAAUGUCACUUCAUGGUGCGAGACGGAAUCGUGCUUGGGCACAGGAUUUCGGGAAAAAGAAUUGAAGUUGACAAAGCAAAAAUCAGUCAUGACAAGCCUACAACCCCCCCCCCCCACAUAUGUAAAAGGCAUACGUAGUUUCUUAGGACUUCAGGAUUCUAUAGGUGCGUCAUAAAGGAUUUUUCACAAAUAUCUAGACCUCUUACGCAUUUGCUUUGCAAAGAAACGAACUUCCAGUUCGAUGACGAGUGUUUAGCCGCAUUUCAUAAAAUAAAAGAAGCCCUUGUCUCUGCUCCAGUCGUGAAAGCACCUGAUUUGGAACUCCUAUUCGAAAUCAUGUGUGAUGCAAGUGACUAUUUAGUCGGAGCAGUUCUUGGCCAACGAAAAGAUAAGAAACUGCAUGUAAUCUAUUACGCAAGCAGAACUCUAGAUGAAGCUUAAUGCAAUUAUGCAACAACAGAGAAAGAACUUCUAUCUGUCGUAUGUGCAUUUGAGAAAUUCCGUUUUUAUCUAGUAGGAUCUAAGGUUAUAAUUCAUAUUGAUCAUGUGGAAAUUAAGUAUUUAAUGUCUAUGAAAGACAAUAAACCGAGAUUGAUAAGAUGGAUCUUCCUACGGCAAGAAUUCGACAUCGAAAUUUGAGAUCGGAAAGGAGCAGAAAUGGAGUUGCAGACUGAUAUGUUCAUAAUUUGCAUCAUUUAGGUUGCAUGUUUCAUUCCAAAUCAUGUUUUAUUUCAUGCAUUUUAGGUCCUUAGGGUUUGUUUUAGGAUUUAGGAGUUGCAUUAUCUUUGCAUGUUUUGAGUGUUUAUCAGGUGUAUUUGGAGUUAUUUGGAGUCGGAGAGAUGGAUCCAGGAAGAGAAAUGGCAACCAGGACUUGAAAGAUGCUGAAAAUGGGUUUUUGGAGGUUCUUGGCUAUUCUCGCGUACCGCAGGAAGGUUUUCUCGGCCAUUCUCACAUACCGCGGGUGGAUUCAUCGGCCAAAACGCGUACCGGCUAAUGAAUUUCUCGGCCAAAAUCUCCGGGUGCAGACACGUUUUCAAAAUCGCCUAACCGGGGAACCUUCCGGUCCGAUUCAGCUGUCGGGUGCUUCCUCAAAGUUGGAGAAGAUUGGAUCACGGUUCCAGAGCAAGUGGAAUCAUAGACUUCGGACACGUGAGCAGAGAGUUAAGCUCGUUGGAAGGAACUCCUGUCUCGCUUCCGUUUUGGACCGACCCGAUGAGGUCCGAAGAAUGCGAAGGACGGUAUUCUUCCAGACCGAUUCAGUUUACGGGGUCUUCAUCAGAAUCCGAUAUCUUUGAGUCCUAUUUCCAGAACGUUUGAGAUCAUGUAAUUCGGAGCUAUGAGCAAGAAGAUAACGUUUCCGGAAUGGACACAUGUCUAGACGCCACUCUCUGAUCGUGUAAAUGCACUGCGAAGAUGAGCCCUCCAGGAAACCUUCCACUUCCCAAGCACCGAAGCUUCCUUCACCAAAGUUGAAGAUAUAUGAGUCUUCUGUCCUCUGAAACCGGAAGCACACAAUUCGGACAAAUAUCUUAGAAGUUACGCCUCCCUGAACGCAAAGUGGUCCUAGGAGCCCUGAACGCUGUAAGAUUGAUAAAAUUAUGCUAAGGGAAAGAUGGCACGAUGGAAUGCCACGGUCCACACCUGACCGUGGCACUUAAUUGCAGUCCUUCGGCGUUUGACACGAUCUUCAUGCCACGGUCUACACUUGACCGUGGCAAAGUAACAUUUGGCCGCGAAAAGAUUUUACUCACAUUCGACAUUUGACAAGGUCUCCAUGCCACGGCUUAGGACUUGGCCGUGGCAACUUUGUACACUUCUUUGGUGUUUGACAUGGUCUCCAUGCCACGGCUUAGGACUUGGCCGUGGCAACUUUGUACAAUUCUUCGGCGUUUGACACGGUCUCCAUGCCACGGCUUAGGACCUGGCCGUGGCAACUUUGUACACUUCUUCGGCGUUUGACACGGUCUCCAUGCCACGGCUUAGGACUUGGCCGUGGCAACCUUGCGCAUGCUUUCGGCGUUUGACACGGCCAUGCAUCACGGCUUCACAUCUGACCGUGGCAACUUUGUGCGUUCUUUCGGCGAUUGACACGAUCACUUGCCACGGCUUGACCCAAACUUGCUAGACCGUGGCAUCAUGAUUCAUCCAAGAACGCGAGAUACAAGAUUUGACACGGUCACUUGCCACGGCCUGACCAAGAACCUGCUAGACCGUGGCAAACUCAUUCUUUACCCACCAAGACCGGGUCAGUACCCGGUUUGUUCCGGGUUGACCCGGUUCGUCCAAGGCUUCUAUAAAUACUUUUUAGACCUAAUUUGGAGAGAACUUUUAUCCUAUUUUUAGUCUCCUUUUCCCUUUUUGUGAAAGACCACUUGUUAAUAGCUUGCUUUUGAGUUUAAUAUCAAUUUGAAGAGUGUUUACCCCUUAAUCUAUCAUCUCCAUCCCUAUUUAUCAUCAUUAAUCAUGCCAAUCUUCUCAACUUGCAAAGGUUUAAGAGAGAUUAGUAUGAUUAGUGAGUAGUCACCUUAAUGAGGUUCUAGAUGUGUAGGUUAGGGUGCUAAAGUGUUAGAUUAGGAGUACUUAGGGCUAGAUUCAUUGAUUCAUCUCUCUAAACAGCUGUUCUCUAUGAUAGAUCCUUGCAUAUCACUUGAGAUCUAGAUUCUGGGAAUUUCAUGCACCAAAAAUGUUUGAUGAAAUUCCUGAAAUAGCUGUAUUAGAGGUUUAAGCAUUUGCUGCAUGAUGAUGUAUUGUUAUUUGCAUGAAUGAUCAUUUAGAACUGUUUAUUAAUGCAUACUGAUUCAUAUUUCACAAAUGAUUAUUUGGUUUGAAAAUGGAUUAGUAUAGGGGUUAAUACCUUCAUGAGAGGAUUAACUUAGAUUAGAGUUUUUAAUCAUUUGAAUCAGGUCUCAACAUUGUCAUUAGCAUUCCUAGUUUAGCACCAAAGCACCCUAACCAACUAUCAUGUCUGGAAUCUCAUGCCUCCAUCAUAUCAUAAUCAUAUCACUUGUCAUUGUUUAGUUCUUCUUUAGUCUUUAAUCCUGUUUUUAAGUUUGUGGUUGUCAUUAGUUAAUCAAAACCACUCUUGUUUGCUUGAAUUAAGAAUCUGAUCACAUAUUUUAGUGUCUAACACCACAUAUGGAUUGAUAAACCCCUUGUACUACAAGACAGGGGAUUGAUAACCUCUACAAAGAGCCUUGAAAACUCUUAGUUAUCACAGACCAUCUUUCACGAAUUCGAGUUGAAGAAAUAUUGCCUUUAAAUGAUAGUUUGCCAGAAGAAAACAUUUAUGCAAUAGAUGCAGUUCCCGCCAAUGCCGCACCACCAAGGCAACUCAUGCGACGAUAAGAUGCUUUCAACACCCCAUUGUUUAGGCACAUAGUGAAUUACCUAGCAGCUGAUGUAGAACCACCACAACUUUUCGGAUAUAGGAAGAAGAAGUUUUUGCGAGACGGAAAACAAUGUUUUUGGGACGAACCCCAUCUUUAUAAGAGAUGUGUUGAUAGUUUAUUCCAAAAAUGUGUGGCUGAAGAAGAGAUGGAAGGAAUUUAUUCGGAUGCCAUGGCUCGUCUUACGUAGGACAUUUUGCAAAAGGAAUGAGAUGCCUCAAAAUUUUAUUCUCGAAGUCGAAUUUUUUGAUGUCUGGGGAAUAGAUUUUAUGGGACCAUUACCGACUUCUUACAGAAACCAAUACAUCUUAGUAGCAGUAGACUACGUCUCUAAGUGGGUUAAAGCAGUCGCUAGUCCCACCAAUGAUGCGAAAGUUGUUAUCAAGCUGUUUAAAUCUAUAAUCUUUCCGCGUUUUAGAGUUCCCAGAAUUAUGAUAAGCGACGGAGGAUCGCAUUUCAUCAACAAGGGUUUUGAAAAUCUUCUUAGAAAGAAUGGAGUUACGCAUAAAGUUUCUUCUCCAUACCUUCCCCAAACUAGCGGUCAAGUAGAAAUCUUCAAUAGGGAAAUCAAGUCAAUUUUGCAGAAAACAACUGCAAUACAUCACAAGGAUUGGUCUACAAAACUUUACGGCGCAUCAUGGGCAUAUCGACCAGCUUUCAAGACGCCAUUAGGAACAACACCAUUCAACCUAGUUUACGGAAAAGCAUGUCCCCUUCCAGUAGAACUCGAGUAUAAAGCGCAAUAGACAAUUAAGGAGAUGAACAUGAACUUGAAAGAGCUGGAGAAAGAAGACUACUUCAACUUCACGAGUUAGAAGAAAUCCGACACAAUGCUUCUAACGAUAAAGUUCUUCUUUUCAAUCCUCAUCUUAAGCUUAUCCCAGGAAAAUUACGUUCAAGAUGGUCCGGACCCUUCACGAUAAAGGAAGUCUAACCAUACGGAGCCAUUGUCUUAUAGGACAAAACUGGAAAUUCAUUUAUAGUAAAUGGCCAACGUGUAAAGCCAUAUCUGGCCGAAGAAAGAGAAGAUGAGAGAGAAGUGAUGCUUCUGAUCGAUCUAUCAUCAUCCAAGAAAGCGAUCAAGGAGUGUUAUGACCCCGGAAAGUCUAAUCGAGCAACAAUGUCAAGCUAACAACUUAAAAUAAAUACUUAGUGGGAGGCAACCCACUUGGUAUUUUACUUAUUUCCCUUUGACCUUCAUUUUCUAUUUUUAUUGCUCUGUUUUUGUUUCAUUUAAUUCCAGGCUUUUUCAAAGAAGAACAAACAAAAGACGAACACCCAUUUGCAACCACAAUAACAUUGUUCUACGAAUGAUAUUCUCCGGCAUGAUAAGUACACUUAGACAUUUCAAUUUUGAAUUUUCUUAACCAUUCUUUCCAAGAUUUAUCACACUGAGGACAGUGUGAAAUAAGUCUGAGGGAGGAUAUUCAUCCGUUACUAACGAAAUUUGAUUUGUUUUGAGUUUGUUUUGGACACAAAAUCUUUCAAUAAAACUUUUCAAAAAGUUUUUUUCAAACAAAGUUUUCAAACCAGGAACAUAAAUAAACAAUACUAUGAUGAUUUAGAUCAGUGUGCUUCUACGCUAUGUCCUUGUUUUUUUUUUUUUGCUCUUUUGUGAUUUAGGCCUAGACUAGGCGGUAGCUAGAAUACUUGCACUAUAAACUCCCACCAGAGGACUUCUAUUUAUUGAGAAUCUUUCUGACAGGAUAUACUAGCUCAUUUAUGACUUAAUUUUGACUUAAUUUUCUCGUUAAAGCAUUAGAUCAGAGAAACGAAUCAUACAUUCAGGACUCCUUUACCCUUUUACCACUCUUUGUUGAUCCUGAAUGGCUAGUUCACCUUUAGCUAGUUCUCUACCUUCACCCAUCCUCUUUUAAACCACAUGCAUUCUUGGUUUUCAUUUUCCUAUAUGCAGAUAUGUGCAAAAACGUCGAAGAGAAAGAGGAUCAACGCGGUUUUCAGUCACUGAAGACGGAGACCUGCGAUUUUACCGGAAUAAUUCAACAAAAGGAGAAAACUCAGUUUGCCCCUAGAAAAACUGGAAAAUGAAUAUACAUUCGUCCCUUAGACUCUCUCUCUUAAUAAAAGGUUGUUUCCAUUUUCAAAAAAAAAAAAUCCGAAAAAGAAAAGGAAAAUAAGAAAGGAAAGGAAAUAAAAAAAAAACCUUAGAGAGUCUAGGAGAAUCGAGUUUUAUACUUGAGACAAGCUUGAUUUUAAUUAUAUGGAGUUUUGGAGAUCAUCUUUCUGAUUCUUGGAAAAGAUCUAAGUCUGGGGGAACAGCUGUUUUUCAACAAAGGAGGAAGGAUUAUGCAACAACAUUUGGCAAAAAGAUGUGACUGAAAAUUGCAGACAUAACAGGUCCAUGCUCUCUUGCGGUUUUGUAUAAUAUCUUGCAUCCUCCAGAUUCUUCAGGUAACCCGAAACACUUAAACUCCACCACUUAAACAGCCCUUAAUGCCAAACGCCGUCUGAUAACAUCUCAUUUUGACCACUUUUCACCAUUGAUUUCAAAUGCUUUUUCAAAUGUUUUACUUUGUUUUAGGAAAUUUUAUUAUGAUUUCCAUGUAUUUAUAGUUUCAAGGCUCUUUUCAGGAAACUUAGGAAAUAUGAUGGCAAAAUGGAAGAAAUCCACAUUUUUAGCUCAGAGUCAAACCAUCAGAAGUUCAGCCUCAAAUGAAGUCUGUCUCACUGUCCGAUCCAGCUCAAAUUUGGAGACAAUCAAGAGGAGACAACCAGCUUUCCAUAUCACUUUAUAUCACAAAGAUCUAACGGUGCAAUCAAAAGAUACAUGGAGAACAAGUUGACCCAGUUCCAAGUCCCGGAAGACUCUCACCCGCGGGAAACACAUGUUUUACCUGCCUUGGAAGACUCUCACCCCUGGUGGACCUUAGGACGAGCCACAAGGCCCAAAAUCAAAGCCCACUUCGCCAUAUCUCUUCAGAGAAGCCCUAAAUGAGAGCUGGAAGAUUUUAGGACAUAUAAAUACAUUGUUUAGCAGUCCUAAACGGGUGUGUGCUCUUGUAAUGAGAUUUUGAGCCACCAAACUCUGUUUUUCUAGGGUUAGGCGAUGGAGAUGGGGAUUCUUCCCCAGAUCCAUUGUUCUUCCUCUUGUUUAUCUUAUUAACUUUUCUGUUUCAUUCUUCUAUGUCUUUUAUCAUUCAUUGCAUCAUGUAGAUUAGUCCCAGAGAGUCAAGUUGUUUGAAGAUAUCGACAAGCAUAUAUAUCGAUUAGGAUUUCUAUUGUUCUUAGCCAUAUUCUGGCUCUCAUCUCUUCUAAGUUGUUCGUAAAGCAUGAUAGUACAUUCAUGACCUAUUCUAUGAGCCUAGGAUCGAUCAGAGCCACAAGAGUGCUGUAUCAGAUCAUCCAUACCUAGCUUCAGAAGAACAUAGUCGCUAUAGGAGUCGAGAGCUACCUAUAGAGAAGAUGUCAGCAGACAAAUUCAAUGUCCAAUGCAUGAUCUUAAGUUUAGCAUGAGAGCGAGAGUUAAUUGCUGGAUCUAAGAGAUUUGUUGAUUAAGGUGACGACAGUUGGUUAAUCAUACAUAUGUCUAUUCUAGUUCAAUGCAGAUCCCCAGAAACAGAUGAAGAUAAAUCACCCGGAAGCUAAUUGGAAAUGCCAUCAUACAUCAGUUAGAGUAACCCGGAGAAGUCUAAAUCGCCACCUAUGAGUUUAAGAGUUUAGUUUGAGUCGAUAUGCUUUAGAUGUUCUUUUAACAAUUCAUCUUGCAUUGCAUUUCUUGUGAAUACUAGAUUAGGUUUAGUUUAGGAUCUUAACCAAAAACCCCAAAACUUUUAUUGGUUUAUGAAUUUUCUUACUUCCCAGUUUGUUGUUUCUCGCAGAUUAGACAUCCUCCCUGUGGAUCGGUACCCUAAGUCCUACAACGUACAUAUGUGCACUUGCAGACACUAGGGUUUUAUAAAUAUAAAACUUCUGGAGGACCGCCGGGGUUGUAAAAAAAAACAACCCUAAGCCCGCAAGCCCAUCAAGUUUUUGGCACUGUUGCCGGGGAGGCAUGAAGCCGCUGGAGGUCUAAACCUGGGAGGUUGAAGCCGCAGACGACUAUAUAAAUGUCGAGUUUAUGCCAAAGCCACAUGGGAAGUAAACCAAAUUCAUAAACACCCUAACUUUUUUAUUUUUCUGCUUAUUCUCUCUUCUGUUUGCCCUAGUUUCAGAAACCUUUGAAGCAUGGAUCAUCCAAGAAGAAACUCUAAUACUGAGCGAGGUCCUGCGACCUGUGUGAAGCUCCCUGCGCAUAUGAAUCACCAUCCAGGCGUGAUUUUGAUCAUCAUCUUUGGAACCCUAAUCUGAAACACCACCAUGGAGACUCGCAACCUCCACACCACCGAGAUGAGCCUAUUCGCCACACCUGGUGAACCGUCGACCCUCUCAUCCUCUUCCUCUUCAGAUUCUGCCCCAAAAUGCUGAAGCUGAUCGAUUUAGGCUCCAACUGAAUCGAUUAGGACAUAUGCUGAAUCAAUACCUUGAUUUUCAUGUUGUUACGGAAGCUACCCUGUACAAGAGGAUCGAUGACCUCACUCACCAUGUGAGAUCGCUGGAAGAUCUGCACUCUCAAGACAUUGCUGCCCUAAAGAGGAAGAUAGAUGCUUUCGAGGAAGAGCAGCCAAGACAGAAGUAUGAUAUCCUUCAAGGAUCCAUCGAUGCCAAAGCUGCUAAGCUAGAGAUCAAGGAGGCCAAUGAAAUCUCUUCAUGGUACAGAGGAAAGACAGAUGGUGAACUUUAAGAGAUUGAAUUUCGCCUUAGCAAGCUUGAGCACAAGAGCAUGGAAACUAGUUCUGACAUCAAGCAUCUCUCUAAGUGCCAAGGAGACACAAACCUUGUUGUGAGGAAGAUCUUUGAGAAUCAUAAGAAGGAUUCUCUUGUUCAUGGUCAGCAAAAAGAAGGAGCAUCAACCAAUUCUGAUGCAAGGGAUCUCACAAUGGACACCCAGAAUAACCCUACAGACAUCCUGGAAGAGCAAGAAGGAAAAGCAGCUGAGCAACCUCCGGAAUUUCCCACCGCGGCCGCAAGGACUUCAGCCACGGCCAGGCCCAUCCUCACCACGGCCGCGAGAGCUUCACCCGAAGCCGGACCUUUCUCCACCGCGGAUGCGACUUCUCCACCCGUGGGGAACCCCAUCUCACUCCCAGUCUGCAUCACCAAGACCCUGAGGAACCAGAAGAGCAUGACUCUUACAUCCCAUGCAUGAAGAUCACAGAAGAAGAACCAAAUGUCAUAGAUGUGAAGGAUGAAUCACCUAAGAGAUUGAAAUGCCAUACAUAGAUUCAAUCAUCAAGUUCGAUGCUGCCAAGUUCUAUUGUGAUUCUUACUCUGCACCAGACCAUCCACAGGAAAGACCAGUUCGAACUCUGCACAAAGUUCAAGACAAAGGUCAAUUUCUUAUCUCUUGUGACAUUAGAGGUGAAAGAUUCCUCAUAUUCUUUGUGAUUUUGGAGCUUGCAUUAACAUGAUGUCCAAGGCAACUGCUUUGAGACUUGGCAUUAAGCACAUCUCAAGUACCAGGACAAAGAUUAGCUUAGCAGAUGAUUCAAGUGCAACACCAAGAGGGAUAGUCUGAGACAUUCCUCUAAGGAUUGGAGAUUGCAUUGCACAUGUCGAUCUAUACAUAGUGAAGACCAAAGAUGACUCUUAUCCAGUUAUUCUUGGAUGGCCUUUCUUAGCAACUGCUGGAGCCAUCAUGGAUUGGCCCGAUAGGCGAGUUUUCUUUGCCAAUAUCUACAAGGACAUAUUCUAUGAAGCUACACCACUUAAGAGCAAGAGAGAAGAGCAUAUAGCCCAGGCAUUUGAACCAGAAGAACUCUGGAGUGAUGAAGAACCUGCAAGACAGAACAGAAGGAUUUCGAAAAGGACUUGUCUUAGGACAAGAUCCUAUUUGAACUAAGUCUUUUUCUUUGCAAAGUCUAGCUAAGGAUUAUAAACCAAAGCGCUUGAUGGGAGGCAACCCAUUUUAGGUACUUAUUUGUUUUUGUUUAGCUUUCUUUUUCUAUUAUAGUUUUGUUUCUUUUAUUUUAGACAGGCCUUAGUAUGCAAUAUAAAAAAAAAAAGAGAGAGAAGAAAAGGAGCUGACCGCGGCCAAAGGAGGUGUGUGAGCCAAAACUCGGACAACCAAGAAUUUGUUAAGGAAAACUUAAGGGAUCAGAAACUUCUAGGGUUUAUCGCAAGAACAGUAAGAUCGAAAGAAUGUUUUUAUUGCUGCGAAAGUGUUUAGUCUUUAUUGCUUAGGAUUGUGAAAAGUUACAGAAUAAAUUGUGUAAAUCUCCUAUUUAUACUAACUAAAUCUCCUAUUUAUACUAACUCCUUAAACCGCCUAGCCGAGAAUCUCGGAAGAGAUUUUAGGAAUAUUUCCUUAUCACUUCGUGCGGCCACCGCCUCAAGGUAUCGCCUAGGGUUUUCAUGGGCUUUCUCCCUUCGAGACUUCGGUUCGGCCCAUCUUGGAAGUAUUGGCUCGGCCCACUUGCGACAAAUAACGGCUCGCCCAAUCGCAACAGUUAACGGCUCGGUCCUCUCUCCUUCUCCCACGGCUCGGCCCAUCUUCACUUAUGUAUGGCUCGGCCCAUUUGACUAUCUGUCACGUAGCUCGGUCCCCUCAAUUCUCCCUCACAGCUCGGCCCAAGCUACACCCAAAGUCAUGGGAUGGCUCGUCCCAACUCUUCUUUCUUUCAUGGAUUCAGCCUACUUUCGCACUUCUUCGAUAUAGCUCGGCUCUCCCGAACACUUAGUCGCUAUGAAGAUGGUUUUGUCCACUUGGGGUGAAACCGACCCCAACAGUUAGCCCCCCAGCUCGUUAAUUUCGGAGACGAGAGUGACGAGGUUCUUCAUUCCUGGCCAUGGGAUAAACCAUCGAGUCAAGCCAUCGCGAAACAACCCCAGGUGAGGCGUUAUGGGAACAAAAGUGUUGAGCGUUUCCUGAAGAUGCCGAGGCGUUUUCAAAGGGUGCCGAGCCGACGUGACGUUUUUUUUUCAAUAACACCGAGUCGUGGUUUAUGGCAACGACGAGGCGAUUAUGCUCGAUAACGCCGAGCUGCUUUGGCAAAGGAUAGUGGCGAGCCGUUUCUGGCAAGGUUGUGCGAAGGAAAGUACCAAGCCGUCUUGUUAGUGACGAGGCGUUUUUCGAAAAGAUGCCGAGCCGUGAUUCAAGUUAACGAUGAGGCGUUUAUGCUGAUGAUGCUGAGCCGUGAUUCAAGUUAACGACGAGGCGUUUUAAAAGAAAAUUACCGAGCCGUUUCAUGUUAACGAUGAGAUGUUCUUAUGAAAUCGUCGAGCCGUAUCGACAAAGCACGGCUCGGUGCAUGCAGUUUGAGACGUUCUCAGAUAACCAUAGCUGUGUUGCGGGCUCGGUUUACCUGGACAGAGUGACUGUUAGUUCUUUCCAAGACAUCUUGAGUGUUGGCAUACAUAACGGACGCGCCGAAGAGUUAUGCUUUCGCCGCGGACUUCACGCGCCCCCUUUUUGAACACUUUUGCAUCAUCCCGAGGUCCAUGCGGAUUUCACGCGCUUCGGUUAUCCUAUAAAUAGGUGAGCUCCUUCAUUCCUCCUCAUAAUCUUCAGAUCCACUCGUUUUCACUAAAAAGGUAGCUCUCCCUUCUCUCUUCUUUCUCUCUCUAGUUUAUUUAUUUUCCGGCUAGGGUUCCGAGGUCUCCGCCGCCUCAGAUGUUUUCCCGACGAAAGUUGGCCGCGUAGCAUUGUUUUUUCCGUACCAGCUGUAAAUCAUGUCGAACCAUUCCAAUGAUUCAUUAGAUUCACUCUUCAACUACGAGCCGAGCCGUGUAGACGCCGAGGUGAUAGGUGUAACAGGAUCCUCCGAGGCGUCUAUCUCGCCAAGCCCUUCCAAUCGUGCAUCCGAAAGUGGUGAGGCGUCGAAUCUUUCAAGUCCCUCAGGCGCUCGCUCUCCAGAUGACGAGCCGUCGGUUUUGACGAGCCGCCCUCAGGGUCCCGCUCUCGACGAAGAUGUUAAUCAUGCCGCAGUGAAAGCCGAGGAGGAAGCGUUUCCCUUUGAUCUGCUCGAGGUGAAACGUGAAUUAGAACGUCUCAUGGCGUCCCGAGGCGCUUCUUCAUCUGGGUGAGGGAAACGAGUGAAAAGACAAAAACCUGACCCGCCCGUGUCUACGCUCUCUCCUCCCCUGACUCACUCGAGGCGUUGAGAUGUCGCUUCGGGAUAUCCGAGGCGGUAGAAUUCGUCCUUCCAGAGAAAAAUGACUGAGCCGACAAACCUCCUAAGAAUCACUUCACUCUGUACGAGGCGUUCUUUGAGCUUUGUUUUCUCUGGUUCCCGAUCCCCGGAGUUAUCCUUGAAUACCUCUGGAAACAUGGGAUCUCAAUCGGGCAGAUCAUGCCGAGGGGUCUGCGGCACAUGAUCGGUAUUCUGGUUCGAAGUUUUGAAUGCGGGCUCGACAUCAAACUGAAUCACCUGCUGAACUUGUUAGAGAUCAGAAAAGCUCCGAAGGGAGACAGAUUUUACAUCUCCAACAAGUCCAACCGCCGGAUCAUAGGUGGUUUUCCAAGCAAGGAUCAGUUUUGGACUGAGCGCUUCUUCUAUGUCUUGGUGAACGAGGCGUCUGUCGGCGAGGAUUACUUUCAAAAAACCAAGACCGCUUGGGGACCACUUGGUAGCCGAUCCGAAGCUUUGCCUCGGCUCGGAACCGUUAUCGUAUAAUCUUCCCUUACUGAAAAUUUUUUUGUGUUGUUUUUGCAGUUUGGAGCAUUCUUCCCCCAAUUCCCGACGACCUCUUUGUUGUCCGAGAUUCUCUUGCGGCUCGGAGAGUUAAUUGGAGGAAGCACUUUACGUUCGAGAGAGUGGAAAGAGCACGAGCCCGUCUUGCCGAAGUUCCUGUUAGCUCUUCGUCUUCAAAUUCCUCGCUAGACACAAGGGAGAAAAUGGUGAUCAUUACUCUUAGAGAUAAGAAAAUGCGCGAAGAAGAGGAAGCUGCGAGACGAGCCGCUGACUUCGGUUGUACAGAAGCAUGAUUCUGGCCAAAAACGUUCGGCUGCUGAUAAGGGGAAGGGCGUUGCUAUCCAAAAGGACGAGCCGUCCAAGAAGAAGCGCAAGCAGGCUCCCGGUGAUCCCGCUGCGCGCAAACUGGUCGUCGACAACCCUGACGCCUCGGCAAUAAUGUUCGCACGUGUUAACAAUGCGAACACGCGUCUUCCUCCUCCCGAGAAGCUGAGGAGACCGAGGUCGUAUGGCGCGAUGGCACAGCGCGGUACCAAGGUAUGUUCUGUUUGCUCUCCUUAUUUUAUCGAAUCCUCACUAAGUGUUUUAACGCGCAUUAUUCUUUGCAGUUUGUAGCGGCCAUCAACGAGCUAAUGGAUGAAUACGAGGCGGACCUGUCUAAGGUCGAGCGUCGCUUGGACAAGGCUCGGAACGAGACCGUGGCGGCGAAGGGGAAGCUGGACGAGGCGAUAACCAGGGUGUCGAGGCUGGAAGAGGAGAAGAUAGUUCUUCGUGCCGAUGUCGACAAGGUUUAUGCCUCGGUCAUUCGCCUCGAGGAGGCUAGGAGAGCCAGAAGCGCCAAGGUGGCGUUGCUCAAAGUCGUAUCGAGGCCAAAGAUGCCUUGUUUAACGCCAAGGUCAAGCGUGCGAAAAAAGGAAGCGAGGCGAGAGCUGACGGCUAAGUUUCAGGAGCGCCUCGCCAAGGUGGAGGAAGGUUUAGCCAAGCUCGAGAAGGCCAAAACCGACGAGAACGAGCUGGGGCAAAUCAAGGGCAACCUUGCGAUGAUUGCCGAUCUGAAGAAACCAGACGCCCCAACGCUCGAUGAUGAGAAGGCGAAGCUAAAGAGCUGGGAGAGCGAGUACGCCGACGACGAGGCGUAUGAGCGCAUUGCCUCCGAGAUCCGAGGUGAGGUAGUCUUCUCGCCUGUAUCGCCGGAUUCUGUAGACACCAGCCUUGGUAACGAGCCGCUCGAAGAGACAGCAGCCAACUUGGGCGUUGUAGAUCCGACCGGAUCGAAUGCGGGUAUGCCGGCCCUCUCAAACCUCCUUGCCGAGCGUGAAACGCAGUCCGCGGCUUGAUCCUCAACGCUUUCCCCUAUCUUUCGUCUCAUAUGUUUUUGUACUUAAGAUUCGGAUGACUUUAUCUGUUUCUCGAACUUCUUGUGUAACCGAUGCCUGGAUGGCUUUAUCCACCUGACUGUUGAUUUUGCUUUCGGUUAUAUUUAUCUUUUCCUUAGUCGUUUUUGGAUUUGAUGUGUUUAUCCUUGACGACCUGUGAAAUUUUUACGAAAACUAUUUGUUUGGAAAGAAUUGUCGUUGAUUGGCUUGUCGAGCUGUGUCGAGAAUGGUCUCGACUGCUUUCCUGGCCGAACCGUUUACGAUAGAUCGAUAUAAGAUCGGGCUAAGGAUUCUGUUUAAGUCUAGAUCCCGAGCUGGGAGUUGAUUCGUGGAGCGUUGAUGUGUGCUGGUGAGUGAGGGUUGUCAAGUUUUACCCUAAAUGAAAUCAAUAGCCGCAAGUGCACAGCUGAUCGAUUGUAGUACUUAGGGAUCGAAUCCACAGGGAAGGAGGAUCUUUUCCUGCAAAAGCCUUUGAAAGAAAUAUAAAGUAAGGAAGUCUAGAACCAAACGGUUUUGUGGGGGUUUUGGUGGUGUGUUUAAAAUGUAAAAACGAAAUCUUAAAAGAGAAUACGGGAAUUAAAUGUCCUAAUAACUUAACUUAACGGAAAUGAAUAAAAAUGAGAAAACGGAUAUUCUAAUUGCUUAAAUGAAAAUCUACUAAAAAGGAAAGACAAUAUUGAACUAAAGCUUGAAAUAAAAACGGUGUAAAUCAAUAGGAAAGAAGGCGUUGGGGUUCAGGGAAGUUUUCUCAGGGGUACGAACGAUUCAAAACAUUGCUAGAGAAUAAAUUUGAUAAGAUCUUAGCUUAAAAUUUUCGAACUGGAGUCAUGGACGUAUGAAUACGCCACUGUCGUGAUCAUAGACAACUAUCUCUCUCAACCCUGACCAGUAGGUUUCCACUCUGGCCGUGGAAGAGAAGAGAUGCAUUAUGUUUAAGACUCGUCAGCAUUCACAAAUCGCCCAUAGGUAGGUUUCCACUCCUAUGUUUGUUUUGCUCUCCCAAACUAGAUCUGAUACCUGAUGAACACUUUCGUGUCACCAAGCAUCUGGAUCAGAUUGUAGUUCAUGACGCUACUCUCAUGCAGUAAAAACGAAUUCAGAAGAAAAAGUUCUAAGAUUCGGCUCAAAAGCUCAUGGAAUCCUCAUCGAACAUAUAAAUCCCCAUCGAAAAUCCAUUAAUCCCAACAAUAAAACUACUCAGACAUAAUGAACGGAAUCAAAAACAUAGUAUUAAUAAGUAGAAUAGAAACCGAAAUUGAAAAAAAAAGAACAAGGGUUCAAGAGAACAAAUCUCUCUCUCCCUAAAAGCUAAAGCAAAAACAAUAAAAGUAUGAAGUAAAAAUUCGGUGGUCUAUGAUGUAUCAUCGAUUAGGGUUCCUAAAACAUGUAUUUAUAGUGCUCUGGACGUCACUUAGGGUUUCUCCAAAUGAGGGAAUCAUUGUGGGCUUCAGAAAUGGGCUUUUGGGCUCGGAGUUGGCUUGCCGCGGUCGGGAGUGCUGUGACCGCGGAGAAUGAGUGGUUUGCCGUGGUCGGGAUGCUUCUGACCACGGGAAAUGGCCUGUUGGCCGCGGGUGGAGUUGCUUGCCGGCUGGUUUACGAGACAUCUUGCUCUUCGCGUAUCUUUUGAUUGAACCGUUGGAUUGCCAAGCUGUAAAGUGUGCUGGAAAGCUGAUACUUCCAUCUUUAAGGUCUCCAAAUUUGAGCUGGAUCAGACGGUGAGAAGGCCUUCAAUUAGGGGUGAACUUCUGACGGUUUGACUCUGAGCUGAAAUCUGGUUUUCUAUCCAUUUUGUUAAGCUUUUCCCUAAGUUACCUGAAAAGAGUCUUGGAACUACAAAUACUAGAAAAACGUGAUAAAAGUACUUAAAAGCAAUUAAAAACAUAGAAAAAGUAUUUCAAAACGAUUCAUAAAAGUGGUCAAAAUACGGUGUUAUCAAGCGUCUCCAUUUUAGGUGACGCCAAGGCAUGUUUAGCAAUAAUAUCGAGGCAACUUUCAUUGGAAAUGCCGAGCCGUGUUUGACGACGAGGCGUUUUCAUUAUAUGAUGCCGAGCCGUGUAUAAAGACGAGGCGUUUUGUUCUUUAUUGACCAAAGAUGACUUCGGGACUUUCAUUGAGAUUUAUACUUUCUAUCACUGAGAGAGGUGGGCUGUUUUAGAAAUUUCUACGAAAGAGUCUCCGACUAGUGCCGAAGUAUUUUUCUAGUAAGUUAUGUGUUUUCAAGUAAGUUAUUAUUCUCUUUGAGAGGUUAAUCGUUCGUGAGGAAAAUUCGGGCGUUGCAGCUAAAGUAUUCAGCUUGAGUUUGUAUUUUCCUGCCGAGGCGUUCGCUCAGAGUUUCUCAUUGACGAGGCGAAAGUUCAAGAGGAUAUAGUGUUCUCUUUGGAAUAUGAUUAUAGACCGGCGUUCCCGAGAGGUUGUAUUUUGCCGGGUUUUAAGAGUUUACUUUGGUUUUAGAGAAAGCGAUGUAGUCUCGACUUAUAAUUUCGUGUGCGAUAGUGAACUGUGGCGACCGAUAGGAUGUAACUUGCACCCUCGUCCUAGGAAAGGUGGUGAAAGUCCGUUUAGAGAACUUUGUAUUUGUUGUCCCGUUGUGGCCAGCAACGAGACGAGGCAUUUGGAGACUUAGUUUGCCGAAGUGAAUACAAGGACAAGUAAAAGUCCGAGGCGAUCAAGUGAUAAUAUCUCGCCGAGGUGAUGAACGAAUUAAGAAUCCAAGGUGAACACGAAAUAAGUAGCUGAUUUAAAACGAAUGAGAAACUAGCCGAAGCGAAAAUGAACGAACUAGAAUUCUGAGGUGAACAUGAAAUAAGUAGAUGAUUUAAAACGAACUGAAAAUUGGCCGAAGUGGCAAUGUUCCUAGAGACGGUAGACGAGCUAGAAUUGUAGAGUUAAAUGAAGGUAUGUGUAUACGUACCCACCCCCCCCCCCUUUUUAGGAGGGAGACAGCUGAACCAGUUCGAGGACGGGCUGCCUACGUACCCUUUGCAGCUACCAAGCCGUCCCGUAGUUCAUGUUGACCGUGUUGUAGCUUUAGUGAUAAUACUUCUUAAGGUGCAUUGCAUUCCACGAUCUUGGAAUUACUUCGUCAGCUACCGUCGCGAGUUCGUAGACUCCUGGGCGAACUACUUUUGUAGACCUUCCCAAUUUGCUCCGAGCUUUCCUGCAUUCUUCUCGGCAGUGUUUUGGAAAACUUUUCGAAGGACGAGCUCUCCUUCUUUAAAUCUUCGACUGCGGACAUUUUUGUUGUAGUAUGUCGCCGUUGCUUGUUGGUAGUUCUGAAUUCGGAUUAGAGCCUGGUCGCGCCUUUCGUUGACCAAAUCGAUUUCGUCCAUCAUCAUUAAGUGAUUCAAGCCUUCUUGUCCCGGCAGAAGUCUUUGUCGAAUACCUGGGAUUACGCAUUCUGCUCCAUAAACUAGAGCGAAUGGAGUUUCACCGGUGGCUCGCGUGAGUUGUCCGAUGCGACCAAAGGACUCCUUCGAGCUCAUCUGCCCAUCGUCCUUUCUUGGCGCCGAGCCUCUUUUUCAGACCAUUUAGGAUCGUCUUGUUGGCUGCUUCGGCUUGUUCGUUCCCCUGAGGAUAUCUUGGCGUGGAUUUGCUCAAACGGAUUUUCCAUUUCUCGCAGAAAGCUUCGAAACGCGUUGAGAUGAACUAGGAUCCGUUAUCGGUGACUAUCUCGUAGGGGACCCUGUUUCUGCAGAUGAUAUUUUUCCAGACGAAGUGUUUGACUUGAGCAUCCUUUAUGCUCGCGUAAGAAUCGGCCUCGACCCACUUGGAAAAAUAAUCCGUGAGGACGAGCAGAAAACGCUUUUGCUUUGAUCGAUGUAGAGGUCCGACAAUAUCCAUUGACCAUCUCAUGAAAGGAUAAGACGACGAGAUUGAUGACAGCAGCUCGGUAGGUUGGUGAAUAGUUGGCGCAUGCCGUUGACACUUCUCGCACUUCGCCGUAAACUUCUCGUUGUCCUUGACCAUCGUAGGCCAGAAGUAACCGUGCCGUUUUAUCUUGAUCGCGAGCGACCUUCCGCUUGAAUGGUUUUCGCACGCGCCGCUAUGCACUUCGUGCAUGAUCUUUCUGGCCUCCGGUCCUUUGACGCAUGUCAUGAGUGGUCCUGAAAAUCUCCAUUUAAACACCUCGCCGUCGACGAGGACAUACCGCGCGGCCUGAGCUUUCAAUUUGCGAGCUUCCCAUUUAUCGAUUGGUACUUCUCCAUCGGCGAUAUACACUCGGAUGGCUCCGAGCCAUUCUUUGUCGCAGCCGUACUCCAGCUUGGUUGGCGAGGCGUCUUCAUCCAUAGCGACUGCUUCGUCGUUUUCUGGUUCCUGCUCAGGAGGAUUUAUCAGCCGAACUCCUUCUACCUCUUCGAUGCUAGGACGUUCGAUGAAUUCGACUGGAAUUGUCCGUCGGAGAUCCGGGUCUGAAGUCGAAGCAAGUGCUGCCAAGGCGUCGGCCGAGGUGUUUUCACCUCGGGGUAUUCGUGUGAGCUCGAACUCGUCGAACUUUUGCACCAACUCUCGGACCACCUUGAGGUAAGCUCCCAUCCGUCUGUCCUUCGCCUCGUAUUCUCUGUUGAAUCGACAUGCUACGAGCUGUGAAUCGCAAAAUGUUCUUAUCCUUCGAACUCCGAUUCCCUGCGCUAGUUGUAUGUCGGUGAUCAGUGCUUCGUAUUCUGCUUCGUUGUUUGAGGCGUAGAAGUUCAGGCGAAAAGACUGCUCCAAUAUUUCUCCGGUGGGAGAGGUGAGAUUGAUUCCUAUUCCCGAGCCGUGUUUAGACGACGAGCCGUCGACGUGCAGCGUCCAUGCUUCGUCUAGGGUUGGCUCGUUCGUCACUUCGGCUGAAAGUUCGAUGAGAAAAUCUGCGAGCACCUGUGACUUUGCAGACGACCUAUUCCGAUACUCGAUGUCGUACUCGCUCAACUCUAUGGCCCACUUGGCGAGCCGACCGGAUUGGCUCGGGCUGUGUAAGAUCGAGCGCAGCAGAAGUGUGGCGAGCACAACAAUCGAAUAUGAUUGAAAAUACGGACGCAGCUUGCGAGCCGAGACUACGACGGCUAGGGCGACUUUCUCAAUCUGGGGGUAGUGGGUCUCGGCGUCAGUCAGUAUCUGGCUAACUUAGAAAAUGGGUUUUUGCUCGGACCAUUCUUCUCUGAUAAGCACCCCACUCACGGCUGUAGCAGAUACGGCGAUGUAGAGGAAGAAAGGCUCUCCUUCAACUGGUUUUGCCAAGAUCGGCGGGCUCGCCAGAUAACUCUUCAAUUCGUGGGAAGCUGCUUCGCAUCGCUCGUCCCACUCGAAUUUCUUAUUUCCCCGAAGGGUGUCGUAGAAAGACAGGCACUUGUCGGUGGAACGGGAAAUAAACCUGUUUAGCGCUGCGACCCUUCCUGUAAGCCUUUGCACUUCUCGCUUCGUCCUUGGAGAGGGCAUCUCGAUCAAUGCUUUGAUCUGCUUGGGAUUCGCUUCAAUGCCUCGGUGAGUUACCAGAUAGCCGAGAAACUCUCCGAGGUGACCGCGAACCUACACUUCGCCGGGUUUAGCUUCAUGUUGUGUUUGUUCAACUGCUCGAAGCAUUCGCGUAGAUGCGUGAUAUGGUCUUUCUCUUCGAGUGAUUUGACUAACAUAUCAUCGAUGUAUACCUCCAUGAUUUUUCCGAGCUGAGCUGCGAACAUUUUAUUGACGAGCCGUUGAUAUGUUGCUCCUGCAUUCUUGAGCCCGAACGGCAUGACUUUGUAGCAGUAUAUCCCGCGAUCAGUUAUGAAUGCCGUUUUUUCCCGAUCAUCGGGAUGCAUCAGGAUUUGGUUGUAUCCGGAGAACGCGUCCAUAAAUGUUAACAACCUAUUUCCCGCAGUGGCUUCGACGAGCCGGUCGAUGUGCGGCAGGGGGAAACUGUCUUUUGGGCACGCCUUGUUGAGAUCAGUGAAAUCUACACAGACCCGCCACUUGCCGUUCUUCUUCUUCACAACCACUAGAUUCGCGAGCCAGUCUGGAUAUUUGGCCUCAGGGAUUAAUCCUACUUUGAUCAAUCUCUCCACUUCGUCGUUAACUGCUUUAGCUCGUUCGGGUCCGAGCUUCCUUCUUUUCUGCUUGAUUGGUUUGAAGGUAGGGUCCACGUUCAGCUCGUGACAGGCCACGUCGAUGCUUAUGCCUGACAUAUCUUCUGCUGUCCAGGCAAAAGUGUUGAUGUUCUCUUUGAGGAGAGAAAGAAGUUUUCUUCUCAGAGGUUCUUCUAGUUUUCCUCCGAUUUCGACGCAUCGUUCUGGACGCGCUUCGUCUAUGCACACCGAGUCCACUGCAUCACAUACCGGCUAGUCGCACGUUUCGCGCCUCUCCGUGAUCUGUAAUUGCUAUAAGAGUUUCGAGAGCUCGUUCGCAGGCUCUCGAUCCGUCUUCAUCUUUUUGCGAUCUAUGUCUGCUCGUGCGUCGGUGACGGGAUUCCUCAGCUUGUGCUCCGCUAAGCAGCACAUUCGCGACUCCUUCUGAUUUCCCCAGAUCGUUUUGAUGCCUGCUGGAGUCGGGAAUUCGAGGCAGAGAUGAUAGGUGGAAGGGACCGCCCUCAUCCCGUUGAUCCAUGGAGUUCCCAUAAUCACAUUGUAGAUUGCUGGAUGAUCGGUGACGCAGAAUUGGACGAUCUUAGUGACUCCGCCAGCUACCACAGGGAGCCUAAUUGUUUUCAUGGUCAUCGUUGUUUCUCCUGAAAAUCCGGUUAGGGGUUUGGGGAUUGCCGUCACCUCGGAGAGAUCGAUUCCCAUCCUUCUGAGCGUUUCCCUGAAAAUGACGUUUAUCGAGCUCCUAGUAACGAUGAGCACCCUCGCUACAUCGUGAUCCCUGAUCGUCAAUUCGAUCACCAGUGGAUCGUUGUGUGGUCUAUCGAUUCCUGUCGUUUCCUCCUCGGCAAAGGAGAUUACUGUAUUCAGGAGAUCGGUCGGUUCUGUCCAACUUUCCUUCGCUUCGGCUUGGCGCUGGUAAGCUUUGAUGGAGGACACCGUGUCUUGGUAAUAUUGAGAUCCACCCAUGAUCAUGUUGAUCCUUUGCCUCGGCUCAGGUCGCUCUUCGGGUUCGCCUCUCCUGUCGCGCUUGGAGUUAUCGCCUCGUCGGGGAGGAUUUGCGGGUUCUGCCGCGCAAGACGGAUUGGCUCCUUCUUUUGGUUCAUUAAGGACGAGGUCUUUGAGGUUAACCGCAUUCUGGAGCUCUCCCGCUGCCAUCUUAGCUGAGAGUUUUGCUCCUAGGGUUUGGCAUUGUGCCGUUGAAUGCCCGUAGGUCUGAUGAUACUCGCAGAAUGCCUUUUCGUCGUAGUUGGUGGAUUUUCUUACCCAGGUGUUGUUGUGCGGCUCUCCUCUUCCGAGUCCAGUGCCUACUUGGUAGUUGUGGGCACCUCCGCUUCUAGGUUCGUCCGAGCUCUGCGUUGUUGCAUUGUUUGAUGGAUUGCCUUUCUUCGAAGGGCGCGUCAAAAUCGAGCUUCGAAUUGCUGCUUUCGUUGCUUCGUACUGUUCGUCCAGAUUCUUCAUCUCUUCCUCGUUUACGACGAAGUCUGAUGACCGAUGCAAGGCAUCUUGUGGUGUGUUGAGUGCCAUUUCCCGUCGGAAUUCGGAUUUGUACCAUAAAGACCAUUUUAGAGCUUCGAGUGCAGCCUUGUCGCUUAUUCCUUCUAUUUUGGAUACGACCGCCUUGAACCCUGCCAUGUAAUCCCGAAGCGGUUCAUUCGGUCCUUGGGAUAGCGUCCACAUGUCGGCAUCAGAAGUUCCUCUGUCCUUAAACAUUGAGUAUUGUUUAAGGAACAAGGCGAAGAGCUCUUGGAAACAGCCGAUUGAAUUGCGCUCCUGCCUUGAAAACCACUCGAGCGCGGCCCCCUUGAGAUGUUCCACGAAGAGUAAACAAUAUCCAGCAUCUACUUCCCGCUCUGUCAGUUUGGUGGCGUUCUUCGUGAAAGCUCAUCCCAUUGCUAUCCGAAACGUUGUGAUGUGCGCUUUCGGAUCGGUCGUUCCUUCGUAAAAUGGGAUUCUCACCUUCUCCAGCUCGGGAAUCCUAGCCUCCGUGAUUCUCGCCGUGAAUGGUGUUCUUUGGGUUUCUUCAAGCAUCUGAUCGAUCUCGGGCGCAUCACUCGUCGCGUUAUGCACUUGAGACUUCAUGGCGCGUAUCUCGGCGACUGUCCGAGCCAUUGGGCUCGCAGCUUUUUAAUUUCGAGGGUUUGUGCGUGAGUCAUUCCCUUCAAUUAGGGGAGUCGCUCCCGCUCUUCUCUCCUCGGCUCGUCUUCGCGUUCCGCCUGCUCGAUCCAUUAGAGGUUUUCUUCUUCCUCAGUCGGGUUGUCGCCGCGAGCCUGGUCGGUGAUUUCGUCAGUCCGGACGCCGUUUAGUGCCGAGGUGAGCUCUUCUUGGCUUAUUCGCCGAGCCGAGCCGUUUUGUUGCGAGUUUGUGGUUCCAUCGUUCUGUUGGGCAUCCAGGUCGAUUGCGUCAUUCUCCUCUUCGCCGGCUCGUCGCCUUGAGUUCCGACGGAGUGGGGCGGCUCGGUCAUGUUGACUCGGGUUGCCGCGGGAGUCUGUUCGCCGAGAGGAUGGAACAUUGGCGGAGCCAAGGGAUUUCUUGCGCCGCUUCCCAAGGCCUCUGCAGGCGUUGAGAAAUCGAAGCGUCUGCGGAUUCCACCUAUCGGGUCAGAGAUUCCGGCUCUCCAAGUUGGGUGUCGUUGCUCGGCCGCCAUCGCGUCGAGCCUCUCUGUAAUUGCCUCAUUUCUUUUGUCCUGCUCAUCGAUCUUCUUCAUCAACGCAGCCAUCAUGUUUCGCAUCUCCUCUUGGGUUUUGGUCGUCGCCGUCGUUGUGCCUGAUACUGGAGCGUCCUUCUCCGCGCCGUUAUCGUUGUUGUUGUUGUUAUCGUCGAGGAUGUUGCUCGCCAUGUUCUUCGGAUCUUAAAGUCUCGUCGAUUUAGAGUAAGAAAGUUUCGAUUCCCCACAGACGGCGCCAAAUUGUGUGAGCCAAAACUCGCACAACCAAGAAUUUGUUAAGGAAAACUUAAGGGAUCGGAAACUUCUAGGGUUUAUCGCAAGAACAGUAAGAUCGAAAGAAGGUUAUUAUUGCUGCGAAAGUGUUUAGUCUUUAUUGCUUAGGGUUGUGAAAAGUUACAAAAUAAAUUGUGUAAAUCUCCUAUUUAUACUAACUCCUUAAACCGCCUAGCCGAGAAUCUCGGGAGAGAUUUUAGGAAUAUUUCCUUAUCACUUCGUGCGGCCACCGCCUCAAGGCAUCGCCUAGGGUUUUCAUGGGCUUUCUCCCUUCGAGACUUCGGUUCGGCCCAUCUUGGAAAGAUUGGCUCGGCCCACUUGCGACAAAUAACGGCUCGCCCAAUCGCGAGAGUUAACGGCUCGGUCCUCUCUCCUUCUCCCACGGCUCGGCCCAUCUUCACUUAUGUAUGGCUCGACCCAUUUGACUAUCUGUCACGUAGCUCGGUCCCCUCAAUUCUCCCUCACAGCUCGGCCCAAGCUACACCCAAAGUCAUGGGACGGCUCGUCCCAACUCUCCUUUCUUUCAUGGAUUCAGCCUACUUUCGCACUUCUUCGAUAUAGCUCGGCUCUCCCGAACACUUAGUCGCUAUGAAGAUGGUUUUGUCCACUUGGGGUGAAACCGACCCCAACAGGAGGUUCAGCCGCGGCCAACAGAUGUUUUACCGCGGCCAAGAAGGUCUGGCCCGCGGCCGGCACGCGUCCCACUCCGGCCGCAAUGCUCCGACCCACGGCCAGCACAGCCGACCACCUUGGCCACUUCCAUCCACCCUUAGCCACAUCUGUUCCACCUUGGCCACCUCCAUUUCAUCCUUGGCCACUUCCACCACCACCUUGACCAAAUCAGUUUUGGAUCCCUAGCAUCCAAGUUUGAUCAAGCAUCACUACCACCAGGUAAGUUUUCUUUUCCCAAUCUUUUUAAUUUUUACAUACUCUAUUUCUCAUCCUUGCCUGAUUUAUUUCACACUGGGGGCAAUCUGAUUUAAGUCUGGGGGAGGAUUUCAUCCCUUUCUAACCACCUUUUCUUGCAUGAGUCUUUGCAUUCUGCAUUUUCUUUAAAAGUUUUUCAAAUUUUUUGAUUUUUAUUAAAUCCUUUUCAAAGUCUUUUGAGUUUCAAAAAGUAUUUUUAAAUGUCAAAUACAUUUUGAGGGAAUAAUGACAAAAUCGAUGAUGAUAACCAACAUGUUUGCUUCUACACCAAUCACUCAUAAAAUCUCUUUCAAUGUUUAGUACUAGACUAUGCGGUAGCUGAGUACUUACACUACGAAAUCCCACCAGAGGACUUCUAUUCAUGAAGAUCUUUUCUGACAGGAUAUACUAGCUCACUUUACUUGAAUUUAAUCUUGACAUCUAAUUUUCUCAUCAAUGGUUUUAAAAGAAGGCAUCAUGACAUACAUCUAGGACAUCUUCAAACCUCAUGCAUUCUCUCUUAAGUUUAUAUCGACAGAUAUGUGCAAAAACGCCGGAGAGGGAGGAACAACACAGUUUUCAGUCACUCAAGAGAAAGACUGAAAGAGACCAGAAGGGAGUGUGCCAGAAAUCUUAUGAUGCCUCAGAAAAGAUCAUUCUUAAAGGUAAUUUUCGUGCUCCCUAAGACUCCAAGUCAAAAGGCAGUUUCCCCUUUUGAAAAAAAAACGAAAAAAGAGAAAAAUAAAGAAAGGAAAGGAAACUAAAAGCCUAAAAGAGUCUUAGAAGCCGAAAUUAUUUGAGCCAAGGCAAUAGAUAUUCACUUAAGGAGUUAUGGAUUCACAACCUGGACAAAAAUCCAAGUCUGGGGGAAUUAUAAAGAGAACAUGAAGAAAGGAGAUCGGAAAUCUUGAAGCAAGAAGAGUGUGACUGAAACUGUGGGGGCAUUUACAGUUCCAUCCUCUCUUGCUGUUUUGCAUAAUGUCAUGUCUCUCCAGAAAAAGGUAACCCUAAACACAUCAGCCUUACCAUUAAAAAGCCUUUUUGAUACAUAACCUUGAAUGCCUUAUUUAAUAUCCUUUUGAUGAGAACCACUGAAACCUUUAAUGAAUGUUAAGAGCUUGUUGACUGGAAGUUAGUUCUAAGUGUGUGGAUUUUCGCAUGACGGAUUAACGGAUUAGUUAUGUCUGUAUUUUGGUGAGAAUUUUCUAGACUUGACCUGAUUAAUGCAUUGUCCAUAAUUAAGGUCUAGAAGUAUGAUUGCUGAUAUUUUUGAUUUCCUUCUCAUUUUUGUUGCAUGAUAUUUUUCCAGAUUUGAUCUUGUUUUGUUUGAGGACAAACAAAGUCUUAAGUCUGGGGGAGUUGAUAACACCUGAUUUUGACCACUUUUCACCAUUGAUAUCAAAUGCUUUUUCAAAGGUUUUACUUUUUUUUAUGAACUUUUAUUAUGAUUUUCAUGUAUUUGUAGUUUCAAGGCUCUUUUCAGUAAACUUAUGGAAUAUGAUGGCAAAAUGGAAGAAAUCCACAUUUUUAGCUCAGAGUCAGACCGUCAGAAGUUCAGCCUCAAAUGAAGAAUUUCUCACCGUCUGAUCCAGCUCAAAUUUGGAGACAAUCAAGAGAAAACAACCAGCUUUCCAUAGCACUUUACAUCACAAAAAUCUAACAGUGCAAUCAAAAGAUACAUGGAGAACAAGUUGACCCAGUUCACCAGUUCCGGAAGACUCUCACCCGCGGGAAACACAUGUUUUACCUGCCCUGGAAAACUCUCACCCCCGGUAGACCUUAGGACGAGCCACAAGGCCCAACAUCAAAGCCCACUUCGCCAUUUCUCUUCAAAGAAGCCCUAAAUGAGACCUGGAAGACCUUAGGACGUAUAAAUACAUUGUUUAACAGCCCUAAACGGGUGUGUACUCCUGUAAUGAGAUUUUGAGCCACCAAACUCUGUUUUUCUAGGGUUAGGCGAUUGAGAUGGGGAUUCUUCCACAGAUCCAUUGUUCUUCCUCCUUUUUAUCUUAUUAACUUUUCUGUUUCAUUCUUUUGCAUUCUUCUAUGUCUUUUAUCAUUCAUUGCAUCAUGUAGAUUAGUCCUAGAGAGUCAAGUUGUUUGAAGAUAUCGACAAGCAUAUAUAUAUAUAUAUAUAUAUAUAUAUAUAUAUAUAUAUAUAUAUAUAUCGAUUAGUAUUUCUAUUGUUCUUAGCCAUAUUCUGGAUCUCAUCUCUUCUAAGUUGUUCGUAAAGCAUGAGAGUAGAUUCAUGACAUAUUCUCUAAGCCUAGGAUCAAUCAGAGCCACGAGAGUGCUGUAUCAGAUCAUCCAUACCUAGCUUCAGAAGAACAUAGUCGCUAUAGUAGUCGAGAGCUACCUAUAGAGAAGAUGUCAGCAGACGAAUUCAAUGUCCAAUGCAUGAUCUUAACUUUAGCAUGAGAGCGAGAGUUAAUUCCUAGAUCUAAGAGAUUAGUUGAUUAAGGUGACGACAGUUGGUUAAUCAUACAUACGUCUAUUCUAGUUCAAUGCAGAUCCCCAGAAACAGAUGAAGAUAAAUCACCCGGAAGCUAAUUGGAAAUGCCAUCAUACAUCGAUUAGAGUAACCCAGAGAAGUCUAAAUCGCCACCUAUGAGUUUAAGAGUCUUUAGUUUGAGUCGAUAUGCUUUAGAUGUUCUUUUAACAAUUCAUCUUGCAUUGCAUUUCUUGUGAAUACUAGAUUAUGUUUAGUUUAGGAUCUUAACCAAAAACCCCAAAACUUUUAUUGGUUUAUGAAUUUUCUUACUUCCCAAUUUGUUGUUUCUCGCAUAUUAGACAUCCUCCCUGUGGAUCGACACUCUAAGUCCUACAACGUACAUAUGUGCACUUGCAGACACUAGGAUUUUAUAAAUAUAAAACUUCUGGAGGACCAACGGGCUUGUAAAAACAAAAAAACCCUAGGCCCGCAAGCCCAUCUACCCUGAAUAAUGUCAUUGAUAAGAAUUCAAUAUUACACUUGAUGAAUGUAGAAAGCUAGUUGACUGGAAGUUAGGUCCAAGUGUGUAGAUUUUUGCAUGACGGAUUAACAGACUAGUUUUGCUUGUAUUUUGGUCAGAAUUUUUUAGACUAGAUCCAAAUAGAUGUUCCACGAUAAGUUAUGGUUUAGAAGGACGGUCACAGAGAAUAUUUUUUAGUUCCUGCGAUUUUUAGAAUUUGUUCCUGCCUUGAUCUGAGUAUGUUUGAUAACACCAUAUUUUGACCAUAUUUAUGGAUCAUAAUGAUGUCUUAUGCAGGUGUAUUAACUCUGUUUUCAAUGGUUUUUAAAGUGUUUUCAAUUUUUAGAGUUAAGACUUUCAAGGAACUUGAGCAAAAGAUAUGCAAUUUGGAACAAACGAACAAUUUUGGAUAAAUGCAGACCGUCAGAAGUAUGGCAAGAGAUGAAGACCUUCUCAUCGUCUGAUCACCCCCAAAAUUUGAUACAACAUAGAGAAUGCAACCAGUUUUCUCUGGUUUGGAGACAUUCCAACGGUUAGAUCGUUAGAUAAUCCCAAUGCAAUAAAGGCAGAAAAUGCAGUCUCGAAUGAGGAUAAUAACUGGGAUUGCGGCCAAAGCAUAGUUCCCUGCGGGUAGGAGAACCGCAACCACGGUCAGACAAUUAUCACUUCCUAGACAACCUAGUUAAAGCCCAAGUCGAUUUCCCUCAUUAUUUUUGAAGCACCUAAGUGUCCACGACAACUCCAGAAGCUAUAAAUACCCCCUUUACGGCAUUCUAAAGGGCAAGCAGCAUGUGUGUGCUUCAAUUUACAAAAUCCCUAGAGACUCGUUGUUUUAUAAGAAGGAGCCGCCGAGGGAGAGCAUCAUCGCCCCUCCACCUGCAACUCUGUUCUUCGUUUUUCUUCUUUGUUCUUUUUAAUCACCAGCAAACUCAAUACGUUCAUGAUGCUUUGUUAUAAUAUGUUUGAGUAGUUUCUCAGUUGGGUUAAAAGGGAUUCUUCAAAGGGAAUUUCAUGUGUCUUCUUCUAUGAAUCGCUAAAUUUAGGAUUAAUAAUCUUCUAGGUGUUCUUCGUUUACCUUUACUCUUAUUGCGCGAUUCUCUGCUAGGCACUUAGAAUUCAAUCUAGAUAUGAGAUGUUGCGAAAGUUUUCUUUGAUUGUCUGAUCUAGGGUGAAACGAGAAAUUCUACUAUAGGAGUGGAAACCUACCUAUAGAUAAGUUGUGAAUGUUGAUGAGUCUUGUUCAAACUAUUGCAUCUACUCCCUUCCAGGAUUAGAGUGGAAACCUACUAGUCAGAGUUGCGAGAAGAUAGUUGUUUAGUGCUGCAAAAGUAGGCUAUUCAUACUUCCGUGCCUCGAGUUCUAGAAUAUAAAUAGUCGAUUACCUUUAUCAUUUAUUUCUGUCAUAGGUUUAGUCCACGAAUUCCUGCGAUACCCUUGCUUUCACUUGCUUUCAUUUGGUUACUUUUUACUUGCUUUCUAGUUUAGAUUUAGUGACACCCAAAACCAAAAACCCAAAUUGUUUAGUUCUAGUCUUAUUUAAGCAUUAGCAUGAAUUCGUACUGAAACAACUAAGUCUCUGUGGAUCGAUACCCUAAGUACUACAACACACAUCUGUGCACUUGCAGACAUUUAGGGGUUAUAAAUUUAAAACUUGAAGCUUAGUAAAACCAACACCCCGUUUACAAUCGCAUCAAUGUCGAUAGUCCAAAAGAACAACUCAAUUCCUGGUACCUAUACGACAAAGGCCAGAUCAGGAUGCUCAUUGGUACAUCCGGUAAACAAGAUGUCUAGUUGGGAGCUGACCUUCUUCUAUGCCAACGUCAACGAAGCGCUAUUCGUAGACACUACUAGGGUCUAUAGGAAUGAGUGGAGCCCGAACAUUGGUAGAUUAUAUGGCUUAUUGAUGUGUCUACUGAGUGAGGGAACAAGUUUAACCCUUAAUAAAAACAAAUUAAAGCCGCAUGUGCACAGCUAAUCAAUCGUAGUACUUAGGGAUCGAAUCCACGGAGAUUUGUGCGCCUGGUAUUCUUCUACGGUUUCUAACUUUAUGUCUAGACUAGAUUGGUUUUAGGGGUUGUUUGUUUGUCACGGAUUAAAGUAAAACUAAAGAAAGCAAAUAAAUCUAUCAUAAAGAGCAAAUAGAAAAUCGAAUGACAGGUAAAUGAAACAAGCAUAAUAUCGAACUAAAGCAAAUGAAAUGCAGAUCUAAAUGAGCAAGUAAAAAUAAAUUGGUUUGUAAACUGUGGCUAAAAACACUGAGCUUUUGGGAACUCUACAGGGAUCAUAAUCGGUUUCAACACUAGGGACUAUAGAUUGGGAUUGAUGGAUAUCGAAAUAUAGGGUUCCAGAGCAAGAGUACGGCGGUAUGACUAUGUCACUGUCGUGAUCAUAACCAACUGUUUCUCGCAACCCUGACCAGUAGGUUUCCACUCUGGCCCUGGAAGGGAGAGAACGCAAGAGCUGCACAUGGCUCGUCAGUACUCACGAUUUCGCCGCAAGUAGGUUUCCACUCCUAUGGAAAAAUUGCCUGUUUCAUUCUAGGUCGGAUACUUAAUGAAAACUUUCGCAACCCUAACUAUCUAGAUCAGAUACGAAGUGAUCAAUCAAGCACACAUGCAAUAAGAACGAGAAUUAACAGAGAACAAAGUUAAAAUCCCAGAUCUAUAAACCUAGAUUUCUUAAUCGAUUAUGAGAGCCCCUUUCGGGAACCCUAAGCCCAACUCGGGAUCUACUCAGACAUGGCUGAGGUCGACAUCAUCAUUGGUUUUAAUAAAAGCAAUUAAAAACAGUAAAGAAAAGAGAUGAAAGAAAGCUUCUCUAUUGAAGAACUCAGACUUGAACAAUCUUCUCUAAAUAUUGCAUAAAACGGCUAAAAAAAAGGGGUUUUUGUAAAAGUAUGAAGGUGAUGUCUAAAAACGACAUAAAUGACAAGUAUUUAUAGUCUUCAAUACUCCAUGGUCUCUAGGGUUCCAGAAUUAAGGCAGAGAAAUGACUUUGGGCUUUAGAAAUAUGGGCUUUUAAUCGGAGUUGGCCGGCCGCGGUCGGAAGUAACGUGGCCGCAGGAAACAGAGGGUUGGCCGCGGUCGGGCAGCUCGUGACCGCGGUGGAUGGUUGGUGGCCGUGGUCGCGUGACUUGCUGGCCGUCUUCGAGUGUCUCUGGGGCAAAUGGAAUAUCUUAAGAUCCAACCGUUGUAAUAUCUCCAAACAAAGUGCAUUUGAAAGCUGGUUGAUUCUUCUAUAAGUUAUCCAAUUUUGAGGGUGAUCAGACGGUGAGAAGAUCUUCGGCUCUCCAUGAGAGUUCUGACGGUCUGCAUUUAUCCAAAAGAGUCUUUUUGUUCUAAUUUGUGCCUCUUUAUCCUAAAUUACCUGAAAAGUCUUUUAAAAUCCGAAAACAUAGAAAUCCUUUGAAAAUCUUUGAAAAUUGAGUAAAAACACCUGUAAAAAACAUUUAAGUGAUCCAUAAAAAUGGUCAAAAUCCGUUAUCAAUUCCCCCAGACUUAGUCUUUUGUUUGUUCUCAAACAAAACAAAGGCCAAAUCUCGGUGAGAGGUUUGAAAACGUAGGAACUAAACAAAAUCGCAGAGACCAAGCUUUUACACCAAUAUCAAUCAUUAUGCAUCAAUCGGGAAUAGCCUAGAAAAUUCUCACAAGAAAUACGGGCAUAACUAGUCUGUUAAUCCGUCAUGCGGAAUUCUAUUGUACUAAGAUCUAAAUUCCAGUCAACUUGCUCUUAACAUUCAUUAAGAAUUUUGGUGGUUCUCAACAAAGAAAGUAUAAGCUAGGAAAUCUAGGCUAGGUGUCAAAAGGGUUAUUCUAGGGGUAAGGCUUAAAAGUGUUUAUGGGUUACCUAAAGAUCUGGAGGAUGCAAAAUAUUAUGUAAAACCGCAAGAGAGAGUGAAGUUGUUGAUAUCCACAAUUUUCAGUCACUUUCUUCUUGCCAUAGAUUUCUGGUCUUCUUCCUCAGGUUCUCUCAUAACUCCCCCAGACUUAGAUUUUUGUAAAUCUUCCAAAACCAUAGCUCUUUAAACGAAUAGUGGUUGCUUUUUGCUCCAAAAAUUUCGACAAUCUAAGACUCAUUAGGCUGUUUGUUUCCCUUUCUUUCAUUUUUUUUUUUUAAGAUAAUAGGGAACACCUUUAGAUAUAGAGUCAUAGAGAGCACGAAAUUACCACUAAAAAUGAGUAUUGUAAAGCUUAAUAAGGGUUCUGAUACUCUUCCUUCCCAAUUCCAUUCAGUCUUCCUCGUGAGUGACUGAAAAUUGCGUCGCUCCUCUUCUCUCUGAUGUUUUUGCACAUAUCUGCUGAUAUAAACUAAAGAGAGAAUGCAUGAGGAUUGAAAACAAGGGUUUUGGGUUGAGGGUAUGGUACCAGAUAAAGAUGAACUAGCCAUCUAGGACGACAAAGAGUGGUAAAAAUGAGGGUAAAAGACGUCCUAGAUGUAUAUCUCGAUGCCUGCUUAAAAUCAAUGAUGAGAAAAUUAGAUAUCAAUAUUAAGGUCAAAUAAAAUGAGCUAGUAUAUCCUGUCAGAAAGAAUCUCCAUGAAUAGAAGUCCUGUGGUGGGAGUUCGUAGUGCAAGUACUCUAGCUACUGCCUAGUCUAGUGCUAAUCACAAAUGAGCUAUCAUGCAUAGUGUAGAAGCGUGCAGGUCUAAAUCAUCACAAUUUUGUGUCAAACAUUCCUGAAAAAUACUUAGGUCGAAUAAGUUACAUAGUAAAAUUUAAAAAGUACUUGAAAUUUUGAAAGCAAAGCAAGAAAAAUGAUUAGUACAGAUAGACAUCCUCCCCCAAACUUAAAUCAUACUGUCCCCAGUGUGAAAAAGUUGGUGAGAAGAUGGCGAAUAAAAGCGAAAAUAAAAUAAGAUAAAAGAAAAAAAAAUGAUGAUAGAACCGUGAUGGCUGUCAAAUGACAAUGAAGUGCUGAUCAAUCACUCAUCCUCCGAUGUGUCUGCUUCGAAAUGGUGCUGCUCCUGUAGGAAGGUGACAACGCGCUCAAAGUGUCGUCCUUGUCUCUUAAAUCUGCGCUCCAGAUCAGAAUGUGUGUGUGACGAUGUCGAUGAUGAAGUGUGGCCGGUCGAAACAGAUGACUGAAAAUGAACAUGUGCUGCAGCUACAUCUCGCUUUGCCUUGGCCACUAUGUAUUGCCUGAUGGUGAAUGGUAGACGAGGCACGGGGUAAUAACUCAGCAGGUUCUGGAGUCCAUCGCGGACGUCCUCCGUUACACAGUCUUGGGACUGAUGCUGCAGGUAAACAGACUCGGUGCUCUUCGGUGCCAGUGCAAUACUUGUAACCGAACCUGUUUGGAUCGAAAGUGGCACGAGAGAUAGUGUGAUCACGAGAGAGAUAGAGUAGGCCAUACCAGACGUCGGGAAGUAGAUCAUCAGAUGAAAAGUUGAAUCCUACAGCCUGUAGUAUCGCUGUAAUAGCGUCUUCGCAACCAUGUAAAUCAUGUUUCACCUUCACCAUGUUAUGUGCUAUGAUCCAGGAAAAGCAGGCAAGUCGUGGGUUGUCCAUAAAUGGCAUCUGAAAUGUAAUAAGCUCGGUCUUCAAAACACAUCCCAUGUUGGCUCUAGAGAAAAUCGUGUGUGCUAAGAGUUUGUGCACAACUCUCACUGCAGGAUGAGUAAAAAGAGCUGACUUGGAUCUCCCGCUAUCAUAGACGCCAUGACCCAUCUCUCUCCAUAAGCCAAAAUCAGGUUCUUCUUCGAGCUGAAUGCCAUCAGUGUAUGGAAGCUUAAGAGCUUCACAAAGUGCAGAAAUGGUGAGUAAGUAGGUCUGUCCGCGGAUAGAGAACGACAAAAUGCCGUCAGAUGCCCUGGGGUUCCUCCUCUUCGUGUGGUGGAGGGUGACAGUUGCUAAGAAACCGCGGACUAGCUCGAGAUAAGUUGGAAGGUUCAGCUCCAUAUAGGGUCUCAGUCUAAGUGCAUCGAUGUACCAGAUUACAUCUUCCCUAAUUCCAAGCAUCUCGAGUAUAUGAUAAUCGAUGCAGUGCGUUGUUUGAUGUUCAGUUUCUUGAAUCGCCUUGCGUAGUCCACUCUCGGGUUGAUCUCUUUCCCAAUGUAUCGAAUCUGUGGUGGCUCAGGAAUCUCUCGUGUUUCUCUUGAGUGUUGGAGCAGCCUCAUCACAUAAUUUCUUUUUCUCGAUCUGACUUGGUUCAGCAUGUACUCUCCAAAAGUACUAUCAUCUAGAGUUUCCUCAGAGCUGUCACCAGUGCGACGGCUUCUUCGGGACUUGGUUUGUUCCAUUUUUCCUACAAGACAAGAUGAUUCUUGGAAAAAAGAGUGAAUAUGGAUGCUGAGUUUAACAUAUUAAUGAUCAGUGAUACUAAUCAUAGUAUCAAGAGAUUAGUUAAAACAACAAGCAAGCAUAAUUGAUAUUAAAUCGAAGAAAUCAAGUAGUUCAUGACCAGAUUCGGAUUUUUUGAUGUUCUCAACAUAGAAAUCUUCUAAAAAUUGGUUUAAUUGAGCAAAUUCCAAGUCAAAUCUAUAGGUUACCUAACACUAGUCACUAAUCACACAAGACUUAAUCAAAUUCAUCAAUUUUGCUGUUCCAAAUUCGAUUUUUAUAAAGCAUGUAGAAUCCAAAUUUCAAAAUUCUCAAUUCCUCUUAAGCUAAGUGUGAAAAUCGAUUUUCAGAUAGCCUAGAAGGAUAAUCUAUUGUUCUUAAGCUAUUUCCACCACUAAUAAACCAAGAUUUGGGCUUUUUAAGAAAACCCUAAAUUCCAAAAUCAAUUAAAAAUGGCGAGUUUGAGCUUCAUACCUUGCUUGAAAGAGAGAUUUGAUGAUAGAUUCGAAAUCAGCUUUAAAAAAGAGUGAGGUUUGGGCUAAGAAGUUCUUAAAAAGCUUAAGAAUUGAAAAAUAUGUUCUAUCUCCUAAAUCUCCAAGUCUUUUGGAAGAGAAAAGAAAAAGGAGUUUUGAUCCAAAAAGUGUGUUUCCUUACUUUAAAAAGUGUUUUUGUAGCAAAAACGGGAAAUUUCCGGGAAUUUAAAAGUUUACGGGAACUUACCUUUCUUGUCUUGUACGCAAGAGGGGAUUUAAAACUUACGGAAAAUCUUAGUGGGCUUUUCCGGGAAUGUUCCGAGAAUCAUUGGAAAUCACCGGGAACAUUUGAAAAGCAACAGAAAUCGGAGGUUCCUUCUCAACAACCAACGGCCGCGGUCAGGAGACGCGCGACCGCGGUGAAGAUAGCAUUGGCCGCGGUCACAUUCACGGUGCCACGGUCGAAGAUGCGUUGGCCGCGGGUUGGUUGGUCGUGACCGCGGCCUAUUUUUCUGCGGCCUUCGUCCAACUUUCAGGUUUCUGCCGGGCCGAGCAGCUAAAAACCUCUCUUUCUUUUUCGGUUUUUCAAAUUUUCUGAUUUUAUUGUGUUUUUGUUUUAUAAGAGUACCUCAAAUUAAAAGAAAAAAAAAACAUAAAUUGUAAAAAGGAAAAAAGAAAACUAAAAGAAAGAGUACCUAAAUGGGUUGCCUCUCAUUAAGCGCUUUUGUUUUAAGUCGUUUAGCUCGACUUAGGCAUGAAAGAUCAGGCUGAUUUAAAUGGCACUCCACUUGAUAUGCCUUUAUCAUUUCCGGUCGCUGGAGGUUUAACUUCUUCUCUUUGAGGCGCCAUCUUCUUUCCUUUACUCUUCUUUCGGACUUUAACGUUGUUUAAAACCCUUUUUGUUUUCUCGAUCAGCUCUUGGAUUUGGUCCUCACUAGUCUCUGUUGCAUCUGGUGGAAUGAUGAUCUUGAUCUUUGCAAAGGCUCCUGGCUUCUCUUUUUCCUUCUCUUUUGGCUGAUUUCCUUUACUUGGAAAAUCGUCUAGGAGAGUCGGAUAAAACUUUUCUGCGAUCCACAUUGAGGAACACAGCAUGCCGGUUUGCGUGAUCGAUUACUGCUCCUACAGUGGCCAGGAAUAGUCUCCUGAAUAUGAGUGGUCUCUCCUUGUCUUGAUCCAUUUCCAGAACUUGGAAAUCUGCUGGAACAAUCUUGUCCCCUACUAGAACUUGCAGAUCAUGAAUCGCCCCUUCAGUAUCUUUUUGAGAUGAAUCUCCAAAGAUAACCUUGACCAUCGAUGUCCUUAAGAUUCUUAGGCCCAAUUUUUCGCAAAUGUCUUUGACAUGAUGUUGACAUUGGCUCCGGAAUCACAUAGAUAGUCUGUGAAGUUGAUUCCUGAAAUGAAACAUUGGAAAACAAAACGUAUUGGGUCGUCGGCUUUUGUAAGCCUUUGAAAAGGGGAACAUUGAGGUACCUUGAAUGGUGGCUGCUUGGCAUCAACAUCCUUGUAAAGUGGUACAAAUAUUGGGGUUUCUUCCUCCUUUCCAUCAGUUUUGGCUUCUUCUUCGGGCAGCGUGGUUAUGGCAUUGCAAAAUCUCUGGGGGUUAUCUUCAACUCUUCCGAGAAGAGCUCCAUUUUGUCUCUUCAUAGAGUCGGCUGUUUGGGCAACUUGGACGUCUAGCUUUUUGACGUGCGAAGAUAAAGUUUCAAACUUCCCGUUCAGGUCAUUGUACAUGCAGUCAACUUUCACAUUCAUGUCUUUAGCUGUUUUCUCGUUUGUCAUAACAAGCUGUUGAUUGGACUAUUCAAGUCUUCCGAUUUUCGAAGCUAGCUGGUUCGUUGUGACUCCAUGCUGUUGUACAAAUUGAUUGUUAAAACCCGUACCUUGAUAGUUAUAUGGCUGUCGCGGCUGAUAAGCUCAUGUCCCUCCAAAAUUUCCACCUUGGAACUUGUUUUGGAAGGAUCUCUGCUGCGGUGGGUAGUGCUGAUCUUGAGGGUUCUCCACAUUUGGAUUGUGGUAAGAGAGAUUGUCGUAGUUUGCAUUCCGGAAGUUGUUGUUGAAGCCAUUGUUGAAACGAUUUAGAUAUGGUGCUUGUGCUCCUACAUAGUUCAGUUCUUCUUCUUGAAAGGCUGGAUUAAUUUGAUCGAUAUAACAAGGUCCUUCGUCUUCUGCGCCACUGUUGGUCUCACAAGCAUGGAUAGGGUGAUUGUUGCUUUUCAAAAGCUGGCUCAUCAUGUUCCUCAACUCGGUUAUCUCCUUGUUGUCUGUUCCGGUUUGCUUUGUUCAUGGUUGUUACCAUUCUGCUGCAUUUCCUGGUUGUUACCAUCGACUGCAUUGAUAGGUGCAUCAAGGUCUUCGCGUUCUUCUCUCUCUCGGUUUUGAGGAUUUCUUGGAGGAAUCUCAUUCUCUUCUCCAUCUUUUCGAGCAUGAUCACCUUCUCUGUGAUCGUUUUCUUCAUUUUCACCAUGUUCGGACCCGUCUUGGUCCAUAUUUAGAGUUCGGUUAACAGGAUCUCUAGGCUGGUCGUCGUCGGCCAUUCCUUGCGUUCGUCUAAGUCUUCGAAGUUCUCUUUUGUAUCUGUCUAUCUCGUCUAGAAUCGGAAUGUUUUUUACAGGUCUGCGCCUGGUAUUCAUGCAAUUCAGAGAAAAAAAAAGAAGGAAAGGAUAAUUCAGAAAAAUUUAAGAAAGGACUAGAGAUCAGAUGUCUAGAACAGAAAUUAGAACAAGAAACAUAACAAAGGCAGCGAAACAAAUCCCCGGAAACAGCGCCAAAAACUUGAUGUGUCUACUGCGUGAGGGAACAAGUUUUACCCUUAAUAAAAACAAAUGAACGCCGCAAGUGCACAGCUAAUCAAUUGUAGUACUUAGGGAUCGAAUCCACAGAGAUUUGUGUGCCUGGUAUUCUUCUACGGUUUCUAACUUUAUGUCUAGACUAUAUUGGUUUUAGGGGUUGGUUGUUUGUCACAGAUUAAACUAAAACUAAAGAAAGCAAAUAAAUCUAUCCUAAAGAGCAAAUAGAAAAUCGAAUGACAGACAAAUGAAACAAGCAGAAUAUCGAACUAAAGCAAAUGAAAUGCUGAUCUAAAUGAGCAAGUAAAAAUCGAUUGGUUAGUAAAAACUUUGGCUAAAAACGCUGAGCUUUUGGGAACUCUACAUGGAUCAUAAUCGGUUUUAACAAUAGGGAUUAUAGAUUGGGAUUGACGGAUAUUAAAAUAUAGGGUUCCAGAGCUAGAGUACAGCGGUAUGACUACGUCACUGUCGUGAUCAUAACCAAGUGUUUCUCGCAAACCUGACGAGUAGGUUUCCACUCUGGCUCUGGAAGGGAGAGAACGCAAGAGCUGCACAGGAGUCGUCAGUACUCACGAUUUCGCCGCAGGUAGGUUUCCACGGAAAAAUUGCUUGUUUCAUUCUAGGUCGGAUACUUAAUGAAAACUUUCGCAACACUAACUAUCUAGAUCAGAUACGAGGUGAUCAAUCAAGCAUACAUGCAAUAAGAACAAGAAUAAACAGAGAACAAAGUUAAAAUCUCAGAUCUAUAAACCUAGAUGUCUUAAUCGAUUAUGAGAGUCCCUUUCGAGAACCCUAAGCCCAACUUGGGAUCUACUCAGACAUGGCUGAGGUCGACAUCAUCAUUGGUUUUAAUAAAAGCAAUCAAAAACAGUAAAGAAAAGAGAUGAAAGAAAGCUUCUCUAUUGAAGAACUCAGAGUUGAACAAUCUUCUCUAAAAAUUGCAUAAAACGACUAAAGGAAAAAGAGUUUUUGUAAAAGUAUGAAGGUGAUGUCUAAAAACGACCUAAAUGACAAGUAUUUAUACUCUUCAAUACUCCAUGGUCUCUAGGGUUCCAGAAUUGAGGCAGAGAAAUGACUUUGGGCUUCAGAAAUAUGGGCUUUUAAUCAGAGUUGGCCAGCCGCGGUCGGGAGUAACGUGGCCGCAGGAAACAGAGGCUUGACCGCGGUCGGGCAGCUCAUGACCGCUGUGGAUGGGUUGGUGGCCGCGGUCGCGUGACUUGCUGGCCGUCUUCGAGUGUCUCUGGGGCAAAUGGAAUAUCUUGAGAUCCAACCGUUGGAAUGUCUCCAAACCAAGUGCAUUUGAAAGCUGGUUGAUUCUUCUAUAGUUGUCCAAUUUUGAGGGUGAUCAGACGGUAAGAAGGCCUUCGUCUCUCUAUGAGAGUUCUGACAGUCUGCAUUUAUCCAAAAGAGUCUUUUUGUUCCAAUUUGUCCCUCUUUAUCCCAAUUUAGCUGAAAAGUCUUUUAAAAUCCGAAAACAUAGAAAUCCUUUGAAAACCUUUGAAAAUGGAGUAAAAACACUUGUAAAAGACAUUAAAGUGAUCCAUAAAAAUGGUCAAAAUCCGGUGUUAUCACUUAUCGAGCUCAUAUUCGUUUUUUAUACCUCAUCUCUGAUUUUUCUGAAUCGCUUUUGCAGUUCGAAACAUCAACUUUGACUCUUACCCAGAUAAUUACUUCAACGAUUUGGUCAAGCUCCAAGGUUUUGGGAUACAAAAUUGGCAUGAGGUACAUCGCCAGAGGGUUCAAGCAGCUAUCACUCACAUUACAAAUGGUUAGUCAAUUAUUCUUGAUCUUCUUUUGCGAAAUUCUUUCUCUGUCGAUCUAAUGGUUCCUUUAUUUCAGCAAGUUGGGGCAGAGUUGAUCAUCUGGUAAGAAGGAGAUCGCCAUAGCGAAUAUAGAUGGCUUUUAUUCAAGUGAACGCUCCGAGUUUGGCUUCUAAACUCAAAGCUCGCUGGGAUGCAGCCAGGCAAUCUGGUUUUUCUCGUUCUGAGGAGCAGAUUGCUCAUACAAACACUCAUCAGGAUGGUGACAAGGUUGCACCUCAGCUUGACGACGAGCGAACUGAGGAGGGUGUCGAGCGUGCUGGGGACCAGAAUCGGGUCGAUGGGGGCGACGUUAGAGAUCAAGGGGAUCUCUGCAAUUGCCGAUCGAAUGGCUGCUGUGGAGGAGUGGCAAACUGAAAAGAAGAGGGUGUUGACCGAUCAGAUUGAGUUGUUGAGAGUAGAAAACUAGGAUUUGAUCAACAAUUCCCAGAUCGCCAACGAGAAGAAGAUUCAGCUCGAGAAACCGAUGGCUUCGGAGGUCCUCCGAGCGCAGAGGAACG
This 46134-nucleotide long non-coding RNA is filed under the name Eutrema salsugineum. RNAcentral describes it as "long non-coding RNA (ESAL_LNC000703)". Lineage: Eukaryota; Viridiplantae; Streptophyta; Magnoliopsida; Brassicales; Brassicaceae. The record is from RNAcentral.